Molecule: long non-coding RNA, 68598 nt
Filed under: Malus domestica (apple)
Lineage: Eukaryota; Viridiplantae; Streptophyta; Magnoliopsida; Rosales; Rosaceae
Description: long non-coding RNA (MDOM_LNC003457)
Rfam family: tRNA (bases 60273-60343)
Source: RNAcentral
GGGGAAAGAGGUGACCGAGCCCUCCCAUGCUUUGAUAAGCCAUGGGCCCCGAGCCCUCCAUGCUCUGAUAAGCCAUGGGCGCUUCAGGACGACUCACUAAGCCACAAUUUUUAUAUGUUCUUACCAGAACUAGUCGUACUUAUGGUUGCACCUCUUUUCUUAGGCCAACUUAACAACUUCCACAUCCCACCUUUAUUGCCUCCACAUUGGAUCGUAAGCUUGCGUUACUAAGCUCGGCAAUCUAAAUCCCAUAAAUUUGGUCAUAUAAAGCACGAGGCUUGAACAUGCUUUUCCGAUGUGGUAUUUAUGCAUUUUUUUUUCUUGUUAUUCAGCUUAAAAUCCUUCGUUUUGUUUGAUUACAAAUAAAUACACAAAUAAUUGCUCAGUGACUACUUUGUUGUUCUUGAAUUCUAUAAAUUGAAUUGCAAGUCAAAGUCAAUGUUUACCCAUUCUUGCAACCAAAGGUCCCACAAUACAAUCGAGUUUGAGUUCCCUUCUCGCAGACGUGGGUCUGGCGAUAUGGUUCAAAGCGGAUGAUUUUCUCAGUUCAAAUUUCUCUUCUCGCAUUCUAAGUUAGGUUAUAGCCGAAUAUCAGUUGUAUAAAAUGAAUUAACAUAUGACUGAAAAAUUCAUGAAUUUAUGAUGUAACCAUUCUAAUAACAAUUCCAAUAUCCGACCACCAGCAUCAUCAAACAAAGUUAAAGUAGUAAUCAAAUUUUAAACGAACAAUUAGUUCAAAUGGUUAAGAGCGUUUAUUCUUGUACCGAGAUUAUGUAUUUGAAACUCUCUUCACAAUAUCGCUUAUAUAAAAGAAAAGGUGUAACAUAUCUCAGAUAUAUGGCCUCUUGCUUCUUCCAAAUUCAGUUACGUCGCACUUUUUAGCAAAGCAAAUCGACACCUGCCUUCACCAACUCACCAAAUCGACACCUGCCUUCACCAACUCACCAAAUCCGUACAUAAAGUGAUUUUUACACUCUUUUUAACUUCUUACACAUUACUUCUUAUUUAUGACAAUCAGAUUGAAUAUGUCAAAUAAAAUCAACGGUCAAAAUAAAACAUGGGUAUGUAAUAGUCUAAAAAGAUGUGUGAUUAUUAUUUCUCAUUCCAUAAACGGAAAUCGCGGUUCGAAAAUUUGGUACAAGCCCAAUUAGCAACAAAGCCCAUUCAAUUUCCAGUUCCAAAAAGAGAAACAGCUGACGUUAAAACGGUUAUACUGCUACGUCACUGAACGCAGACGCAGGGCAGAAGCAGCUGAAGAGCUCAUCGAUUUCGCGCUAUUUCUGUAUAUAAUUAUAUAUAAUCUGCACCUGAUAUGUAUCUAUAGGUUCCGUUCCAAUGGUGGAGAAGAGGAGGAGGAACCCACUGGUGCUGACUUCCACAAAAAAUCUCAUCAAUUCCGUACUGAGUGAAGGCCACCGCGUCGACGGCAGCGGCGAUGGUGACGCGUCGACGAGCUUGCAGUUGCCGCCGGGGACCCUCCGGCUGUCCAAGGACAGAGCGGUCAUUUCCAGCAGCCCCAAAUUGGCCUCUCUCGACGACUCUGCUUUGGUCGGGCUUUCCACUCCCGCCCUCAAACGGCUCUCAAUCACCUCCGGCUCACUGGUAAUUAUUUCAAUGUUGAUUUAUAUAAAUUUUGCUGCUUUCUUGUUUGGCUGGCGAGAAAAUUGAUGAAAGUACAAGAAUUUACACUUGAAUCCGAGCUCAAAUUGCACAGCUGAAGACUGAAGUUAUCGAAAUUUCGAUUUUCGAAUAAAUUAUAAUAGAAAUUUAUUGAUUUUGAAUACAUAAUGUGAUUUUAUAGAAUGUCGAAUUUCGAUUUUGGAAAGAAUUGAAAUUCAUAGUUGGAUUUUUCGGGUUUAAGAUUAUACUAGAAUUGAAAACUCCGAACAACCGUGACUGCGCUGCAAAGAUUGAACAAACCUUGUCCGAGUUUUCCCACGCAAUGCUUGUUUUGCCUUGUUGUGCAUUUCCUGAAAAUGAUCGAAUGUCGUUGAAGCGGGAAGUUGCCUAUAUAUCACCUCUAUUAGCAUUUAACCUUGACCUGCACACAUUGUGCUUCAAAUCACUCGCUCAUAGAGGGGAAGACACUCUGGCUUCUUAUUUUGGAGAGAGUGGACGAUGAAGUGAGAGGGAAAGACGUUGAGGCUUCUGUCGUUGGAUUGCAGUUGGAGCCUCAGGCUCAGUUGCCAAGAUAUGCUUCGCACUAAAGAGCUUCUUUCGUGAAGAUACCGGGAUGUGGAACACUUGACUCUAUUAAAGGCAAUUCAUCCAUUGAAUACGAAGAUCGUCAAGAAAUGAUAGAUUUGGCUCUACAAGGAGUUGAUAGGUAUCUAGCAAGUGGUGAUAUUUUCAGUAUUUGCAUUAAUUGGAGUUGCAAGUCAUCAAUGUGCAUUCCUUGCAAACAAGGGUCACAAGCUGGAAGCGAUAACAUCUAUUUCAAGGUAAUUUUCCUGUAUUGUUCUUCCUAAAAAAAAAAGAAUCUUAAUAUUGUUCUUUGGUUACUUUUAUACUCACAUAUAUUAUAAUGUACCAAGUCUGAUCACAGUGUAAAUUAAUAUUCUUAGGUUGUGGCCAUGGAACCUUCAGACGACCCCAGUCUCCGAGUUAAUCAUUCUCAAACAGCCCUUGUGCUUGGAGGGAGUGUCUCUUCUUCUGUACCCCCAGACUUAUGGAUUGCUGAACAACAAGGUUUUGCACCUUUGCAAGGGGACACCGUAAAAAUAUUGGCUUCCAUACUUACACCACCGCCCAUCAGCACUAUCUUCAAAAUUCAGAGUUUCAGUUCUCCUGUAUGGAUUGGCUGGUGAGUUUGAUUUUUCCUUUUGUAGUUUUCUUUGCAUGGUGGCUUUGAUGUUUAUAUUGGAAGGGCCUCUAACAAGAUUGCUAAUUUGCAACCGUAUGCAAUAAUGAUUGAACCUAUUACCAGUUGGUAACAACAAUGGUAACCAAAAAACUGUUUGCCUUGGUUAAGAUCUAUGUUGCACGGAUAUCCGGGUGGGGGUAUCCGGUACGAUACGGUACGCCGAUACGGCAAAUUUCUAAAAACAAGGAUACAAUACGGCAAGGAUACAACAAUUGAAAUAAAUAUAUAUUGUAAAAUAUAUUUCAUAGGGUCAUGUUUCAUUAUAUAAGUUAAAUCACAAAAAGAGUGAAACAUUCAUCUUCAGAAGUUGGAAUAACUUCUGAAGUGGCUUCACUUAUCAGGGAAUUCACUGAGCCAAUUUAUGAUGAUGGAGACAUGGAUUCCGAAGAAAAACAUAAUGGCGAUAUUGUAAGAUGCAACUGUUUUAGUUCCACAUAUCUUGGUUUAGGGACACUUAGUUGAAGAAUGAACAUCUACUACUCUGUACCUCUUUAUUUUGUGUGUGUGUCCAUUGAUCUAUAAUUUUAUUGUUUAUUAUUUUAAUCUUAGUAACCUAAAUCGUAGAGGAAGACCUAGGAAAAUUUUGGAAGAGACCCUAAGAAAAGACUUGAGUACUUGGAUCUAACGGAGGACAUGACACAAAACCGAGCGCAAUGGCGUUCUAGGAUUCAUAUAGCCGACCCCACUUAGUGGGAAAAGGCUUUGUUGUUGUUGUUGUUGUUGUGUUGUAGUAACCUAAAUCGUAUUGGGGCAUGAGCAGGAUGCUGGGAAGAUAGGAAGGCAUCGGGUGCUGUUAGUUGCAGCUGCUGACAGUUCUGAAGGUCUACCACCAACUAUUAGACGCUGCUUUAGCCAUGAAAUAAGUAUGGGUCCUUAGACCGAAGAACAAAGGGUGAAAAUGGUGACAACAGUCUCUGCAAACGGCUUUUGAACUCUUUUCUAAUGUAUGUGAGUAAAUGUGUUGUUUAUGUGCCUUUUUUGUGUGGUUGUGUUUAUAGAAGCAUAAGCUAUUCCAAAAAACUUAAGCCACUAGGAUAUGGCUGAGUAUUUUAUAUUCUUAUAACUAUGAUUUACUCUUAUUUUUGUUGAAGUUGUUAUAAGAUCUGCUACAUAAGGAUACCCCGCAUGGUACUCAAUGUAGUUUUUUUACCGGAUCCUAACUGGUCACUUUGAUGGAUCCGAUUGUUGUUAUUUGCAGACUGGUUCAGAGGAGUUUAUAAAGGAUAUAGUUGCGCAGACAUCUGGUUUCAUGCCUAGAGAUAUUCGUGCUUUGAUUGCUGAUGCUGGUGCUAACUUGAUUUCCAAAGGCAAUGUUCCAAUUAACUCUGUUAAGUCGGAGGAAUCAGAUGGAUCUCUCAGAUCUGAUGCGGAAUCUGAUAGUAAGUCCUCUGAAGUUGCACCUCAGGUUCUGGGGAAAGACAACUUGACUAAGGCAUUGGAGCAUUCAAAGAAAAGGAAUGCAUCAGCCCUGGGUACACCAAAGUUAAUUUAGAGACAAGACUAACUUUGGUUCAAUAUUUUAUCCUUUCUUAGAGUUUUCUCCUUUAUGUGGGAAGUAAUAAAGAGCUUUACUGCUAGAAUCAGCCGGCAGUGAAGUAGUAAUCUCAUAGAAAAUUUUCGAGUAUGAUAUACAAGGAAUUUUUAAGUCAUUUUUCCUAUAGGUCCCUAAUGUGAAAUGGGAAGAUGUUGGCAGUCUUGAGGAUGUGAAGAAAUCGAUUCUGGAUAGUGUUCAGGUAGGUGCUCUUUGUAUCUCUAAGCCUUAGUAUGUUCAUUACCAAGAUUACAGUCUUCGGAAAUUGGAAGUCUCUUUCACUGUACUCAGUCCCUUUUGUUGUAUUGUUGUAUUUGUAGCUACCUCUUCUGCACAAGGACUUGUUUUCAUCUGGUUUAUGAAAGCGGUCUGGUGUUCUUCUAUAUGGCCCAACCAGAACUGGGAAAGUAAGUUUCUCUCUAACUGUUUUGAGGACUUUUGCCCUCUUCCUCACAUUAAGCUAUUUGUUUGACCACCAUUAUUUUUGUUAUUCAAACCUCAGACUCUACUGGCAAAAGCCGUUGCAACUGAGUGUUCCCUGAACUUUCUCAGUGUAAAAGGACCUGAACUAAUCAAUAUGUACGUAGGAGAGUCAGAAAAGAAUGUUAGAGACAUUUUCCAAAAGGUAAAGAAUACCACUAUGAUCAGUAUCCCUUCAGUGAAAGAAUCUUAUGGUCAGAACAUCCAUUUCCACUCACAAUUAAGUGAUAUUGCACAUACUUUGCAGGCCAGAUCAGCACACCCAUGUGUUAUAUUUUUUUAUGAACUUGAUUCUCUUGCUCCAGCUCGAGGUGCCUCUGGGGAUUCUGGGGGUGUUAUGGACAGAGUGGUUUCUCAGGUGAGGUCUCCUUUUUUCCUAUGACUUCUGUAGAAUCUUUUCUGUGGUUCCGUUGGUAUUUUCUGAUGUGAUAAGUCUUCUGAUUUUCAAGAUGCUUGCAGAGAUUGACGGCCUAAACGAUUCAACACAGGUUAUUGCCCUGGUAUCUUCUUUUCUUAUAAUCAGAAAGAAACCAUACCUCAUGCUUCUUUUGGUUUGUCUUAGGACUUGUUUAUUAUUGGAGCAAGCAACAGACCAGAUUUGAUUGAUCCAACACUUCUACGGCCUGGACGAUUUGAUAAACUGCUUUAUGUUGGAGUAAACUCUGAAGCAUCUUACAGAGAACGGUUAGUAUUCUCACAAUUUCAGUUUCAUAAUGCAUACUUCGUUUAAGAAUAAUCAAAUUACGGAUGUCAAAUGGGUGCUGAAGCUCUUUUUUCUUCACAUUUCUUAAUGCCAUCUCUUCUAGGGUCCUCAAAGCACUUACCCGAAAGUUUAAGUUACAUCAAGAUGUACCACUUUACUCAAUAGCCAAGAGAUGUCCCCCGAAUUUCACUGGUGCAGAUAUGUAUGCCUUGUGUGCAGACGCUUGGUUUAAUGCAGCAAAGCGCAAGGUUAGUCAAGUCAGCACCAAACACUGGAUAUUUAGUUCUGAACUUCUGAUAAACUAAAAUUCUUGCUACAUGUUAAUGCUAUCUGAUAUUUGGGGUGUUAAAUGGUAAUUAAGAGCGCAAGUGCGUUUAUGCUUUAUUUCCGUUAAAUUUGGAAUCCACCCAAAAACCAGUUAACAGACGAGUUGGAGAGACCCAGGAUUUCACAUGCUAAGAUAGAAAAGCUUCGAGUGCUCGAUGUAGGACCUUGUGUUAUCAAAAACAUCCUGGACAUUUUUUAUCGACACUCGAUACAGGUGUAAAUUUUUAUGACAAUAAACUUGGCUAGAUAAAGGAAUGCUCCUGUAUUGAUGGUAUUUCAUGCUUUCUUUCUGGUGCUGACAUUUUGUUUCGUGUAGGCUUUGAGUUCGGAUUCAGAUUCUUCUUGCACAGAUGACCAGUCGGACUCUGUUAUUGUCGAAUAUGAUGAUUUUAUCAAGGUAUGGCAAUUGCUCUUCACUGUGAUUGAGGGAAAUGUGAAUACUUCUGUGUUUUACUAAACAAAGUGCUGCUCUAAAGCCCGUUUCUGAAUUAUUGCCUGACCGCCUUCUCCUACCGCCUUAGGUCUUACCGGAGCUUUCUCCGUGCCUCUCCAUGGCCGAGCUCAGGAAGUACGAGUUGUUGCGUGAUCAGUUCGAAGGAGCUCCCAAGUGAGUUCCCAUCAGGUUAAAAUGAUCUGUGGGGAAUUCAGAUUUUGAAUCUCUUAUUAUAUAAUCAAAUGUAUAUGAUAUCAGUGUGUACAUCCAGGAAAUAAACCACUGCAUGUACCAUUAAUUUAAAAAAAAUGUAGAAAUUGGAUCGAGAGAUUUUUCAGUGUGCCGAAAAUACGGUUUGGUAGACUAAAUGUCAUAAUACAAGUGGUUGAUACUUGAAAAUGUCAUUUGUACUAAAUCAUUCACUUGUACUCACUAAAGGAGAGCUUGAACCUAUGUACUUGUGUAAACCCUUCACAAUUAAUGAGAACUCUUCUAUUCCGUGGACGUAGCCAAUCUGGGUGAACCACGUACAUCUUGUGUUUGCUUUCCUAUCUCUAUCCAUUUAUAUACUUAUCCACACUAAUGACCGGAGCAAUCUAGCGAAGAUCACAAAAAGCGACCGUUUUCGCUACCUAGGAUCUAUCUUGCAAGAGAACGGAGAAUUAGAUGGAGAUCUCAACCAUAGAAUACGAGCUGGAUGGAUGAAGUGUAAGAGUGCAUCCGGCGUGUUGUGUGACCGUCGUAGGCCACUGAAGCUCAAAGGGAAAAUUUUAUAGGACGGCAAUAAGGCCAGCGAUGUUGUAUGGCACAGAAUGUUGGGCGGUGAAGCAUCAACACGUACACAAAAUGGGUGUAGCAGAGAUGAGGAUGCUUCGUGGGAUGUGUGGGCACACGAGAAAGGAUAAGAUUGGGAAUGAGGAUAUCCGAGGUAAAGUAGGAGUAGCCGAAAUUGUAGGAAAGAUGAGAGAAAAUCGGCUCCGAUGAUUUGGACAUGUGCAAAGAAGGCCGACUGACGCUCCGGUUCGAAGAUGUGACUACGGGACAGAGGUUCAGGGCCAAAGGGGUAGAGGAAGACCUAGGAAAACUUUGGAAGAGACUCUAAGAAAAGACUUAGAGUACUUGGAUCUAACGGAGGACAUGACACAAAACCGAGCGCAAUGGCGUUCUAGGAUUCAUAUAGCCGACCACACUUAGUGGGAAAAGGCUUUGUUGUUGUUGUUGUUGUUAUAUUCUGACACUUGGUGUAGCGGACUGUAUUCCUGCACACUGAAAAAAAGUUUCACCUGGACCAAAUUGGUCGCUUUUAAUUAGGACUAUUUUCUUCAUUGGAUCAUGUACUUUUUGUAGAGGUUUUUUAGGUAUGACUCAUAUGACAAGUAGGACAUCUAAUUAUAAUUGGUAAAUUAUGCGGCUCACCUCUGGGUCUCUGCUCCACAAUAUUGUUGUAUUGAAGAAAAGAAAACAAAACGGUAGUCUAUCCUUAAAUUAAUCUAGACUAAGAGAAAAGGAUUCGAGUAUACUGGCUAGCCAACUUGGUUAACCUCAAGUCGACUUCGAGCAUAAGAUAUUAUAAGGUCUACAUAAAAUGAGGUUGAUUUGGACCAAAAUACAAAUUGAACUGGAGAAAAAACUAGGUUGAUUAAGAAUGGAUUCAAGCCACUAGUACUACAAUCUAGUGGUAUUUCUCUUCAUUUGUAAGUAAGAGGUCUUAGGUUCGACUCUCGCCAAAAGCGAAUUUGAACCAUAUUAUUGCUAGUCUAUUGUGAGACUAAGCUCAUCCCUUCUCCCCUAAUGUAGAUAAUAUCAUUUGUUAAAAAAAAAAAAAUGAAUUCAAACUAUAAACUUAUUAUUCUUCUGUAUUAUAGCAAACGACGAGUUGCUAUUAUAUCAUGUGACCGUGUUUCAAUAUCAUAUCAUAACUUUACAAAACAUUCGUUUUUUCCAUUUAUAAUACUAAAAUGCUUUUAUUUUUCUUUUGUCAAUUGGAAAUACUAAAAAAAUGCUAUUUAUGCUGCAGUUUGGCGUUUGGAUGGUCAAAUUAAAGAGCACAAAUCCAAGCAUAUGCUUUCAUAAUUAGCAAGGAGUGUAUUCCACAAACCUUGUUCUACCAACUAUACACAGAAGGAGAAAGACAUGCUUCUCAUUAGCGGGAGGCUUGACGAUUUCUUGCAUGACAGACGAGUUAACAUGUUAACGAAUCAGAUUAUUAUCGAACUAUCUAUGAAAUAAUGAGUAUGACACGUAAACGACACGAACAUAACUUGUUUGUCAAGUCUAAAGAUUAGACAUGGUAAGUUUUUGCAUGACUCAUUAACCGACACGAUCUAUUAAUGAGUCUGAUCUUUAUCUCAUUACCUGUUAAAAACCCGUGAGACCCCGAUUAUUGCCUUUUUUUUGUAAAACUAAUAUGGAUAUCUACGGCUUUCAAGGGCCCCUAAAAAUCGUCCUGGAGCUCUUAUGUCUUUAUUCUCACAGAUAUUCUGUUACUAUGACGAAAAUAUCUGCAAAAUCAUAUGCCUUUACUGCUUACUGAUUUCCGUUUGGAUUUUCCGUUGAUUAGUAGAUUUUUGUUGGCUGAUAUUUGUUUCCAACUGGAUUAUUAUCAUUAAUCUCCACUACUUCACGUUACGUAAAAUUAUUCAACUCUUUACCUGCAAUUAGUCAUGUAUCGAUAUUUGCAAAUGACAAUUUGAUACAUUUUCAUAAACAACAUGAUAGAAUCACAAAAAGAAUAUCAAUCAAACUAUAGCUUCUUUAAAAGUAUUUUUGCUUAGAAGCACUUUAUUAAAAUCAAAUUGAAAUUUUUAAUAAAAAUGCAAGUGUUUUGUUCAAUCUAUAAGCACUUCCAGCUUUUUUUUUUUUUUUUUUGGCCAAACAAGAUGAUGAGUUUUUGGUGAUCUGAAUAUGAAAGUGCAAUUAGUGGGAAGAGGAUCCUCUCCCGACCUCAGGAUGGGGAUCCUCCUGACCAGCCUAUCUGGACCGUUCAAAUUUAAUCCAACAAUUGCAAUUAUUAUAAUUUUUAGAGAAUCUUCCUGUUUGGAACUGUUGAAUUAAAUAUGAACGGUCCAGAUAGGCUGAAACUGUUGAAUUAAAUAUGAACGGUUCAGAUAGGCUGGUCAGGAGAAUUCUCAUCCUGAGCUCUGGAGAGAAUCCUCUUCCCAGUUAGUGCAAUCAUCGGGUAAUAGGAUAAGUCAAACUCGAGACUUUUUCUAGUGAGUUAGACAUCACUUUAGGAAGAAAAAGAACGCAUGCUGCUUUAGUGUGGGCCCUUCACGCCAACUGCCUCGUGUAUUUCGUGACUUACAUUCUCACGGUGGAGUUUUCCGAUCCGAAUCAUUCGUUGGGUUCUCUUUACAGUAUUCUCCAUAUUCAUGAAUUAUAUUCAUUUAUCGUACAUUGUACGAUUAUAAAUUAUUUUAAAUAUUUUUAUUUAAAAUUAAAUACAAACAGUACUUGUACGGUUAGAAAUUGAUUUAUUAUUAUUAUAAUAAUAAUUCUCAUUUUAUUACUCUCAAGUAUUGGGAAUUCGCACUUUGUUACUCUUAAUUUUUCUUGUCUCGUUUUUAUACCUAAAUUUUGAUUUUCUAAUACUUUAAUACUUCCGUUGAGUUUUUCGUCAAAUUUUUGGUUCAGUGAUAACGUGUCGUAACUUUGAUCCACCAUAUUUUGCUACGUGGAUGAGAAAUUCUCUUGUAAAUUCAAGUCAUCGUGUCUGGUGCUAAUUCUUGGCACAAAAGAAACAAGUUUUCUAUCAGAUUAAAGGAGUCAAAGUCUCUCUUAUAUAAGGUGUUACAAGAUGGGGGUAUAAUAAUGUGAUAAGAAUAUCGUUAUUAUUUAAAUAUUGUUCAAUAAUAAUAAAAUAUUAUUUAUUGUGACGUUUCACGUCAUUAAUAUAAACUCAUACAAAAAACGAUUUACACAUCAUUUUAUAUUACUAGUUCAGGAGCUUAUGAAAGCGGUGAACCUAUUUCAUCUAAAUCUUUCUCGCAGCUAGAAGUGCUUUGUGAAAAAAUGAUAAUUGAUAUAUAGUAUAUGGGGCUUUCCCUAUAGCAAAGAGGUUAACUAAUUCAAAUAAUGGCUUUUUAUAUAUAUAAAAUUUAAAAACUUCACUUUAAAAGCAAGCACCAUGCAUAAGUAUGGAAUUAAAAAAAAAAAUUGCAUUUGUGAUAACGAAAUUAACUAGAAGACCAUAAACUGGUAUCUUGUGGAUAAUUUAUGUAAAUGCUCCCAACCCAUUAUGUGGGUCUCUUCAUAUUUGUGGCAUAGUUUUAUACAAUAUAUGUAACGAUAUAUUUACAUUAAAGAGGUGAGAGAAAUAUCUUUUAAUGUCAUUCAACUUCAUAUCCCCAUUGACACUUAGUCUAGUGAUAUUUAUCUUCACUUGUAAGUGAGAGGUUUUAGGUUCGAUUUUUGCCAAAUGCAAACUUGAACCACAAUAUUGCUAACCCAUUGUGAGGCUAAAUGACACAACCCGAUCCUAUAAUCAAUGCGUGCUGGCCGUCACGUGAGUGUGACGUAACCAAAAGUGCGACUCGGAAGUAAAAGAUAAGAGAAAUACGAAUAAACAAAAACCAAAUACUAGCAAUAAUAUCCAACUAGCAUGCUAGAAUGAGUUUAAGUGUGCAGUACAUAAUUUCAGAGCAUAAAUACUAGGUGCAGUCAAGUAGGACCAUAACUAAGUUACAACACCCGCAGGUGAGCCCUACAUUAAUGUAGUCUGUUAGUACGUCGUGGGAAUCCUCGUGGGCCACCAACGCUGCUAUCUAGAACCUGGAGGGGCGCAAAACAAAAUUGAGUGGGUCAGUAAAACCAAAGUUUUCCAAAACAUUUCAUUUAAAACAUUUCUAACCCCUCACUGUAAAACUUGUAUACCUUCCCAGAAAAUAACAUAAUAGCAUAAUAUUUGUUCAUAUCUCUCAAAACAUCAAUCUUUAUCAAAAUCCAGCAAGUAUGCCAUGCUAUAAAUGUCAAUGACAGAAUAUGAAUGCAUCAAUAACAGGUGACAUAAUGAAUCAACCGGAGACCCUGCAGUUGGUCUUGUACGGUUAAUUCUAUAGCUCAAUAUCCAACCCAGCCGGAGUCACCACGGUGACCUGUAUGGCGCUACUCUGCACAUAAGUCGGAACUACCUAAAGUAGUCUAUAUGACAAGAAUGGUGAAAUAAUGCGCUCUAGUGCUUCUCUCAUCAAUCAUUUGCGCGCAUAAUCUAAGGUCACCUACCAGUCUGAACCACCUCUAGUGAUCUAUACGACUAGCAUGUCGGAACCCUCUCAUGGUCUGUACGACAUGCACCUACUUUGAUCCAAGGUGAGCGUGCGGUGCGGUGAAUACUAUAAGCACUGACACCAGGGGUGCAGGUUAUGAGCUCUCAACAUAAUUCACAUCAUCAACAAUUCACAUGAAUAACAUAAAACUCACCUGAUACUCACUUGUGCGUCCACAGCACCAAUUCACAUAUAUAUGCAUCAAUUACUAAUUCAUAUCAUUCAUAAUAUGCAUGCACGGCAUUUGAAAAACAUACUUUCAUUUAAAUUCAAUUUAUGGGAAAAUCAAUAGUAUAUAGGUAAAUACAGAAAAUAACUGCCCACUCACUGAUAAGUCGAAGGGUCGUAACCCCCGUGACAUCCCUGGAUGCGCUCGUCCUCGGGAUAGGUACCACCUAUAUGCGAAACAACUAAAAUAACAUUAUUUAAAGCACACAACCGACAAUUCGUAAUAACUUCUCAUACGGUGCUCAAUUUGGGUAUAUGAAUAUACCACAGUGACCUACUCGACGUCACGGACGUCGAGGUAUUUUUAGAAAAAAAUUUCGAGGCCGCACGCGCCCCCACGCGCUGGGAUGGGCAUGGGUCCACGCGCGUCACCCCUAACCUCCAGUCGCCGGACUGGUUCGCCGGUCGCCGGAAAACUGGAGAUUUUUCAAUCUUCUUGUUCUCCGUCAUUUCUUAACCAUUUUUCACGUAUUUUAUAUCAAAAUGAAGCCCUAAGCAUGUAGAAUCACGUUACACUACUUUAAGGCUCUAAAAACUACGAAAUCUCACCGGAGAAAUUCCAAGAAAACCGGCCAACUUCGAACUCAACGAUCCCGACGUCCAAAACCUUCAAACUAAGCACUCCGAACUUCCUUAUGACCUCACUAAGCUCACUAUAAGCUUAGAAUUCCUUGAAAAUCAACACAUCACGAAUGCAUGAACAGUACUCAAAUCGGACCUCGGGUUUUCAACGUGAUUUCUAAGGUUUCUUGUUCUAAAACUAGUAUCAAACGACUCAGGAGGUCGAAAGGAUGAAGAACCUUACCUUUUUGGUGUCGAUCCGUGAUGAUUGGAGGGUUUUGGCCUUUGUCCGUACAAUUUCGAGAGGGAGAUAGAGACUAAAACGAAGAGGAGAGAGAGAGAGCACGGGGGAAGGAGAGAGAGAGGGUUGUCCCGUGUGUGUGUGGUCCACCCAAAAACAAGUCACAAUCAAAUUCUUAAAAUCCCUAACCACACAAAACAUACAUACCAACUUUAAUCCAACUUAAAUUAUUUUUCCAAAAGUUUAGGAAUGUAUGUAUUUAGUCCAAUAAUAUGUCACACACACAUACCUUAGUAACCACUAAGGGCAAUCCCGUCAUUUCACGUCCUCGAUAAAUAAAAAUCCCGGGACGGGCUGUGACACUAAACCCACCCUCUCUCUCUCUUGGUGUAAAUAAUAUCGUUUGUUAAAAAAAAAAAAAAAAAACUUCAUAUCCCCAUUGGUUUUUCUUUUUCACAAUUUAAUUUAAUUACUUGUUGCACGCUUAUGCAAGCCAACUUUAUGAAUAAUAGUAGGUGUUUAUUUUUUUAUUUUAUUUUUAUUUUUUGGAAGCAGGUGUUUUAAUUUCUUAGGAACAAUAGCAUGUGGGGAAUAUCAUAUUAAAGGUUAUCUUAAGAAUAAUUGCAGGUGGAAAACAGUAUUUUAAUUUUUAACAUUUUAUGGUUGACGAGAUUAUAAUGUAGGUGGGAAAAUAGGACACUAUGAGUGGAUCUAGCAGCUCUCGAACUUUUUUUUGCACUAAAUCUAUUCACAAAUUACGUGUUUCUACCCUUCUCUUAUGUUUAGAAACUAAUAAUAAGUUUUAAUUGCCACUUAGUACUAUGGUCUGGUAGUAUUCAUCUUUUUUAUAAGUGAGAGAUCUUAGGUUCGAUUUUCGCCAACUGCAAAUUUGAAUCACAUUAUUGAUAGCGCAUUGUGAGGCUAAGUCCAACCCCUCUCCUUAAUGUAUUACAUCAAUUGUUAAAAAAAAAAGUUUUAAUUGGUUAGCAUAUCAUAUGAUGAACACAUUUCAAUAUAUGUAAUAUCCUCAUAACUUAAAUUACCAUUUUGUCUUUGAAAAUUUCAAUAAUCUUGUAAUAAUUUCAACCAACGAUUAUUAUAACAAAACUCAUAAACAAUAUUGUAGUAACUGACAAUUUGUCACACAUGAGUGGCCUUAAUUAUUGUUUUCAACAACUAAACUGAAAUUAAAAAAAAUUAAAAAAUAAAAACUCCACACUGAUAACCACAUACAGGGAGGGAGAUUUUUGUCCCAACACAUAUUUUAAGCAUGAAAUGGUCAACCAUUUGAGGUUUUGCUGUCUUUACCAAACCCAGUGAGUGUGCGCCUCUUUCUCUCUCUUUAUUUAUUUUCUAUUUUUGGUGAAACAUUCCGGUAACUAAAAGUUGUAUUUUUAAAGUGAUUAAAAACACUUUUAGAUUUCAUGUGUUUUUUUUUUAAAUUUAAUUGACGUAUUUAUUAAAAAUUAGUUUAAAAAAUAUUUUUUCUUUGAAUAAUUUCUAAACUGGUCUUAAAUAAUUAAUAUUUUUAUUUAAAUUCCAUUUUGUAUUUUCUUAUUUUGUUUCUCUUGCAUUUUUAAAUAAUUUCUUUUUUACCUUUUUAAGUCGUUUUUUUACGUUCCAACUGUACCUCUUGGGGGAGAAAUUUUUAAUUGUCAAGGGUACACAAGUGGCACAUCACAUGUUUCAAUAGAAGUGAUGAGAAAUUUUAUUUUUUAAGUUAUUAACUUUUUCGUAUAAAUAUCCUAUCAUUUGUUUAGUAAUGUGUGAUGUACCAUUCUGGUACCGAUCUCCCAUGUUGGGGAUAGGUAUAAAAGAACAUGCUGGAGUCGCCAGGUGACAAGUGGCUAAAUGCUAGAUAGUUUUCCCCCACGCGCCUUCUAAUAGUCUUGAGACACACCUUCCAAGUGUGUGCAAAUGACAAAGUUGCCGCACAACAAAAUUUUAGGUCGGCGGAAAAAUAUUAGCAUGUUGAUAUUAUACAGUAUUGCAACAUAACACGUCAGAAAGUUUCAAACUAUUUUUAUUAGUUUUAUUUAUAAUAAUGGGAAUUUUCACGAAAAAUUCUCGGUACUGUUUACUUUAACGAAAAACCAUAUUUUUAAACUAAAAAGUCAAUUAUGAUACUAUUCACUUUGCCCUUUAUUUUGUCCUUAUCGUUAAAACUCGAAGUUUUCAAGUCAUUUUCAUUAGUUUUCCUUAUAAUAAUUUAUUUGAUAAAUAAUUUAAAUAUAAUUUAAUAACACAAUAUGUCUUACAGUUUAAAAAGAUCAUCAAAUCAAUUGUUAAAAUUACAAUUUGUCGAUAUAAUUUGCCAACUAGUUCUUCGUAAUAUUCUACUAUUUAAUAUUACAUGCCAAAUUUUCACAUCCAGUUUACCAAAUUAAUGUCCCAGUUACAAAAUUUUAAUUGAUAAAUAAAUAAUCUAAGUUUACAAACGAGAUUCUACUCAUAAAUUACCCGUGUUUAUAGUUUGACAACAAAAAAAAAAAGUAUUUCUUAUGAGAUUUUACUAAUAAAAUAAUAAAAACUUAUAAUAUGUUUUCCUUUAAUUAAAAAAUAAAUAUACUCUUCUCGAAACACUAUCUACAAAUUUGUUCAAUUAACAAUCUUGACGAGAUGCUGUUUUAGACAAUGUAAAGAUUUUUUUUUAAAUAAUUAAAUAACGCUCUUACUCAUUAAUGUUAAUUUUAAGAUUUCAUUAACAACAACUUUCGUUCAAGUAAUUAUAAAAAGUAGAUCUAAACUCCAACGUGAAAAAUAAUCCAUAUAGAUAAAUUUUUAUGACAUAUGUUUUAUCGAUGCCUAACAACGACAUUUUGCUCGUAUUAACAAUAAAGGUAAGGGAAAUUUUAUUUGGACCCAAUUAUCUUAUCUAUACACCCAACUAAUAAUUUUUAUCUAUCAAACUUCCAAGUUUACCCUUAAAUAUAUAAGAAUAAGAGAAGAAAAGAAAAUAAACAUUGAUGUUUUUAUCUCUACAUCCCAUAACUCCAAAACUAAGACACCAGUGCACUCUUCCAUUAUUUCUAGCAAAACCACCCAAAUAACAGCAAAAUAUUCUCUUGAGUUCAUCAACGAGUCAGCUUGCUAGAAACCCUUAUCAGCCCUCAUUUAUAAUUUCAGUGUAGGUUUUCAGCUGAUAUGUUUACUUGUUUGAACCAUUAUCUUGGAGUUGGCUACUUGCAUAAAUUAUUAAAACUAACAAGUUAACUUGCUAGAAACCCUUGUUGCUAUCUCUUCUAAAUAGACACUGACAUGGAAACUUUUUUCUCAUAUUGCAGAAAUUUGUUUCCUGUCCAAUGAAUUGGUAAGAAGUUUUCUCUGCUGAAAUUAUAAAUGAGGGCCGCUAAGGGUUUCAUGCAACAAGGGUUCUAGCAAGCUUACUUGUUGAUGAACUCAGAAGAAUAUUUUGUUGUCAUUUGGGUGUGUUUCGCGGGAAAUAAUGGAGGAGUACAGAUGUGUGCCUUUUUUUGAAUUAUUGAGUGUAGAGAUAAAAACACCAAUGUUUAAUUUUUUAUAUUUUCUUAUUCUUAUUUAUUUAAGGGAAAACUUGAAAGUUUAGUAGAGAAAUUUUUUUAGAUAGGUAUAGAGAUAAGAUAGCUGGGUCUAAAUAAAAUUUCUCUAAAGGUAAAUUUCUUGAUUUUCUUAAGGGCCAAACAAGAGGAAGCGUGCUUCCACGCGCAUAUGCUUGCGUCUCAAACUAUAAAUCCUCGGGUCUUCACGACAGAGCCAUUACAUAAAAAAAAACAGGAAAUAGAGGGGCCAAAACUCAAAUAAAAGUAUAAAAAAUAAUAUUAUUUUCCAAAAUAAAUACAUAAAAUAAGUUAUUAAUUUUUUUGCUUCCGGGAGAAAGAAAAUAAAAAUAAUUAUAAAAAGGAAAAAUCAGAAAUUAAGAAACCGGCUGCUGUAAACACCAAAAACCAGAGAGAGAGAGAGAGAGAGAGAGGAGAGAGAGAGAGUGCUGCUGAUCAAAUUUUCUGCUCAAUAGAAUUUACACGCAGGAAGCGUCUCUGAAAAGCAUAAGAUUGUUGCUGUUGGCGAAAUCGAAGCUUUCAGAAACCCAGUUGGGUUUGUUUAAUUUUGUAAAUUCGUUUUUAAUUUGGGAAAUUUGGAAGAUUUUGAAUUUUGGGAUUUAGGGUUAUUGAUUUCUGAGGGUGGUUGUGUGAUCGGUGAGAAUUUGAUUGAUUUGGGAUUUUGGGUUGUGUUGAAUGGGUCGUGGUUUGAUUAGUAGUUGUAGAUUUUGAGAGAGGGGGAGAGAUUUGUGGAUGAUUUCUGUGCGGACUAGGGAUGCAAGGGAGGGGGUAGAAUUAGGGUUUGGUGGUCGGAGAGAGAUGGAGGAUACUGAGCUUGAAGAAGGCGAAGCUUGCUCUUCACACAUCAAUGAAUACGAUUCCAACAUCGAUGCUCUCUCUUACAUCGUAAGCGUAUAGCACAUAAAUAAACACAUAUAUGUAUAUAUACACGUAGAUUUGUAUGUACAUGUGUUUUUGCUGCUUAUUGGUUUUGAAUUGCUAGAAACUUUUCGGGUUGACUUGUAUCGGUUUGCUAGAUCCGAGCUAAUGGAGUUUUUGAAUUUGAAUACUUUGGUUGUGUUAAGAAUUUAAGGGUACGUAAUGGAAUGAGAACUUUUUAUUGAAUUAAAUUGGUGUAGAAAUCUCUUACUUGAGUUUAAGAAGUUUAAAAAUUUGAUAUUUGCUUUGAGGGAGCGGAAACUGUAGUUUAGGAUUUCGUUACUUAGCUCAUGUUCUUGUCAUGUAAUUGCGUUGCUAACAUAUCGUAUUCAUCCACUUUGUAAUGUGAGUAUGUAUCCCUCUUUGACUUAUGGACGGGCGUGAAAAUGCUGUUUUGAGAGGUUGGAUCAUGUAAUAAUUGGAAUUUGCACUGAACUUACUGGUUAUGAUAACGGUUUAACGUGCCAUAGAACUUCCCUUGCAUACGAUUCAGUUUUGGAGUCUCUGUAUCCAUAUUGGGCUACUGUGUAGUUAUGAUUUAUGCGGGAUAGUAAAAUCUGAAUGUUAGAAAUCAAGUUUUGUGGAAUUUAUCUAUGCUUCAAAUGCAAUGGGUGACCUUCAAAAUCUCAAAACCCCAGUUUUGAUACUUGUUUUAAGUAUUUUUGUAGGGUCAUGAAGUGUGAUUGCUCUAGGUAAUUAAUAUUUGGUAGCUCGACAUUGUAGUAUCUUAAAUCUUAAAGAUGCCUGAAUCCUAUGAAGAGUGUUACUGAAGUAUAACCGCCUUGUUUCUAGCUCUUACUAUUACUUAACGUCUUUUUGUCGAGCUUUGCAUUUUAAUGAUUCAUAUUGCUCUCUCUGGUAUUAGGAUGAUAGAAUUCAGGAUGUUUUGGGACACUUCCAGAAAGAAUUUGAAGGUGAGGUAUCUGCGGAGAAUUUGGGUAAGUCAAUAGAACGGAAUUACAUUAUCUCUUGUGCUUGAGAGAUGCAUUAAUUUGGAGUUCCUUCUCUUUAAGUAAUGAGUUGGCAAUCAAUACAUUGAAACAGGGGCAAAGUGGGGUGGGUAUGGCUCUUUUUUACCGUCCUAUCAGCGGUCUCCAGUGUGGUCUCAUCCGAAGACUCCACAAAAAGUUCACAACUACAGCUUACUCAAAUCUCCCAACAAUUUGAAACUUGAGGUAUCAACUUUAUCAGCAUAUAAUUUCCUACUUAUAUCUAGUUCUGUACAGAUAAAUCUUUGUCUCUGUUUGUUUCUUUGACAAUUCUCAGUUUACUUGAGCAUCUUUCAUUAUUUUUCCGCACAGUCUGGUCAACGUAACAAUGCAGUUUGUUAUAAUACACCUCAGUCAGUGGGAGUAGGACCUGCUUCUACUGGUUCCACUUCGCUUGUUGUACCAAAGGCACCCUCAUUAGUUCAACCUGACCAGUACGCUCCUCGGCAUGAAUCUGCAAACAAGAAAGCUAUCAAUUCAUCAGACCAGAAAACAUUGAAGGUGCGAAUUAAAGUGGGAUCAGAUAACUUGUCGACACGAAAAAAUGCUAUCUACAGUGGGCUUGGCCUUGAUACCACACCGUCUUCCUCACUAGAUGAUAGCCCUUCAGAGAGUGAAGGGAUAUCUCAUGAGCCUCGAGAUGCCCCAUUUGAAUCUCCCACCAGUAUUCUUCAGGUGAAUCAUCUCCCUGUAAUAUUCAGAUGUUUUCUGUUUUAGAAAUAGUGUGCUUAAACUGAAACAUUUAUUUUGGCGCCGCUCUGGAGCAGAUUAUGACAUCCUUUCCGGUGCAUGAGGAUAUGAUGUCACCUCUUCAUGACGACCUCAUUUACUUGAUUGAAAAGGAAAAGCUUCUAAAAGAGGGUACAGCGAGUGGAACUCAUACCAUGGAGGGUGGUGAGAAAGUAUCAAGAGCAAGGAAAACAAAAUCGGUCGAAAGAAAUGAUUUGGCUGGAAAGGUUCAGGAAGAUAGAAAAGUAAAUUUAAGCGAUGACGUUUUGGCUCAUCCAAAGAAAGAGGGCCGUUGCAGAGGAGAGAAAACUUAUGAAUUGGUAAAAGGUGACUUAAAUGUUUCCAAAGGGAGGAAAGCUUUAAAUACUGAAAUCAUGGACCAUUCAAAGCAGAAAAUCAAUCAGAAGGCUGGAUUGCAUGAGGUGGAUGAUACAAGACUAUAUUCUGGGAAGGAGUAUCCGCUACCCGGGGAAAAAAAGAAACCGAAGGAAAGUCAGAGUACCCCAGUUGCUGAGAUGCCAAAAGAAAGCUCAAGGGUUUGUUCUUCUUCAGUGCCCAAGAUGAAGAGCACGCAUGCGAACAGUUCUAAUACUGAUCAAAGUAGGGAUACAUAUAGAGAUCUGUUUGGGGAUAUAGAUGAAAAUAACCAAAUAAAUUUAUUUGAACUUCCCCUUGAAGAGAAGCUUAAGGACACUGAUGCUGUUGCAAAAAGCACACCUGUAGUUAACAGUACAUCAAGGGAGAGACAAAAUGGCAAUAAAUUUGAUAAACCAUCAUCAAUUGCAGACUCACAUCCUAUGAUGGCUUCAAAUAUACUCCCACGUUCUGGAAAUGGGCCCGUGUCUGCUGUGCCUCCUGCUACAGGGGCUCCUGCACUGAUAAAAGAUAAUUGGGUGUGUUGUGACAAGUGUCUGAAAUGGCGGCUUCUUCCAUAUGGUACAAACCCGGAGAGCCUACCUGAAAAGUGGCUGUGUAGCAUGCUUAAUUGGCUGUAAGUUCCUUUCUAGUAGGCAUUUUCUAACCUAUCACUACAUUCAUUAUAUUACAUGGUAUAUCGCUAUAUCCACAAAACCUGAACUGGUAUAUUGAUAAUAUAUGCCAUUUUAUAAUGUGUAAUGACUGUUCAUUCCAAUCUCUGCCUCUCUGUUCUCUCUCUCUCUGAAGCUUGAUCUCUUGAUUCAAAUUUAGGCCUGGGAUGAAUCGGUGUAAUGUAAACGAGGAUGAAACAACAGAAAAGACGAAAGCUCUAAUUCCACAGUACCAAGUUUCUGCCCCUGAGAGUCAAAGUAAUCUGCCUAGAAAUCCUGGUUUAAUGGAAGGAGUGGCAUUGACUAAGCCUCUGAACCCUGACCAAAACCUUGAAAAUUUUGGUUUGCCUGGCAUGCCUAGUAGUGGAAAGAAAAAAAAUGGAGCAAAAGAAUUGCCAAAUGCAACUAAUAAGGAUGGUUCCAUUCAGUUUCCAAACUCCAUGAAGAAAACCGUGCAGGCAUCAGUGAAGAGUAGAAGCUUGAAUGAUGUGAAUCAGUCUCCACUGCCAAGUGAACCUGAUUUGCAGCAGCUAAGCAAGUCCAGUGACAUGACUGUGGAGAAACGGAAACACAAGUACAGGGAGAAGCAUAGAGAUUUAGAGCCCUCUACUAGGGGAGGUAUGGCUUAUGAAGCAGCGUUUUUUCUUUGUCCUUUUUAAGCCAUCCUUAAUCAUGUUGAAUGCUAUUUACUUACUAAUAAAGCACGUCAAACAGGUGACAUCAAGAAUUUAAAGAUAAAGAGCAGAAGAGACUCCGUUCCAGAUUCUUCUCGAGCUUCCAAGAAAAUCAAGACUGAAGUUAAACAUAUUAAUGAUGAAGGAUGGACAUCAGACUACAAUUGGGCAGUUGGGGAGGUAGGUCCUAGCUCAAGUGGUGCUGCAGCAGGGAAAGAUCAAAUUAAGAAUAGGUCACAUGCUGCUUCUAUUACAAAAACAAAGGAUGAAGUUUUCUUAAAAAGUCGAUCCUUAGAUGUGGGAAACUGUGAUUCUAGAGGUAGAUCAAAAAAGAGAAAAGUGAAGGAAUCCUCUGACAUGGGUUCCCUUCCAGCUACAGGGUGUUAUGUUGAGGAUCAUUCAGUUGCUGUGAAGGAGGAGUUUAGUGAGAACGACCGCAGGAAAGAAAAGAAGGCAAGGACUUCUAAAUCUGAUGGAAAAGAGUCUAGUGCAAGCAAAGGAAGUGGUAGAACAGACAAAAAGAGCAGCCAUACAAAGAACCAACAACAUAGAAAAGAUAUUGGCAGCAGUUUAACUCACCGGAGUAGGAAUGGUAUGGAUUCCUUGAAAAAAGAUUUGGGAUCUGUACAGGUUCCUAUGGCUGCAACUUCAAGCUCCUCCAAAAUCUCUGGUUCCCAGAAAACCAAAUCCAGCUUUCAGGAAGUUAAAGGUUCACCCGUAGAAUCCGUCUCAUCUUCACCUAUGAGAAUCUUGAAUCCCGAUAAGCUUACAUCAGUAGGCAGGGACCUCAUUGGAAAGGAUGAGUCACAAAAUGCUGGUCAUUUUGCCAUAGGUAGCCCAAGAAGAUGCUCAGAUGGCGAAGAUGAUGGUGCGAGCGAUCGAUCUGCUACAGCGAGGAAGGACAAAGUUUCCACCGUGGCUUAUCAUGGGUCUCAUGAGUCUUCUGUGCUUGAUUUCCAGGACAGAGAUUCUAAUCACAUAUCUGGUGGUAAAGGUAGAGGGCAGGUUGCCCCAUCGCCGGAUAUCACAAAUGGUCUUUCUAUGAAUGGUGCUUUGGGUAAUUCAGGUCAAGAUACUGGGUGUCCUAAACCUUUGGCUUCUAAUCAAUUUGGUGGUGAAUACAGAGAGAAUGGAAAGCAUUAUAACUCUAAUGGAUCUCACCCAAGAAAGUCAGGGAAGGGAUACUCUUCUUCAUGGUUAAAGGACAAGAAUGGGAGCUUUGAAUCUGAUUUGGACAUUGGUGAGGCCAAGAAUUCUAAAGUUCUCAGUGAACAGAAGGAUCAUUCACCCUCCCAUGGAAUAAAACCCGGGGAUGGUAAAAACAAGUGUGGGUCUAAAUCUGGUCAAACUGAGAACAAAUAUGUCAGCAAGAAAGAUGUUACUGGAAAAUCUUCCUUUGAGAGCAGUAAAAGGGAAGGUCAGUCGAAUUUCGGGGGGCAUGAUGGCCCAGAUGUUAAGCCAGAAAUCAUUUGCAAAAAAGAUGCAAUUUCUACUCCCAAGCAGAAUUCGCUGCAAGAUUGUGAUGGUGAAAGGUUCUCAAAGAUUCCUUCCGGAAAAACUGAACGAGUGGAUGCAGGCUCAGUUAGGGGGAAGUCACUACCCUUGCCAACCUCUGGUGGGGCUCAAAAUGAGACCACAACCCGUUGUCCUCGACCAGCUGUGGGUUCUCAAAAAGGUAAUGGAGCAGAUAGCUCACAAGUUGAUGCCUCUGAAGGUAAUGAUGCUCUGAAGCAAAUACAAACCAGAAAGGUUGAUAAUCAGAAUGGAACUCAGCAUAUCAGUUCAAGGCAUCUUUUACAGAAUGGGCACAGUGCCAGGGAUAUUGAUGCCCCUAGUCCAGUUAGAAGGGACUCCAGCAGCCAGGCUGUUACUAGUGCUCUGAAAGAAGCUAAGGAUCUAAAGCAUCUUGCUGAUCGCGUCAAGGUUUUAACCUAUCAUAUUUUCAUGAUUAGAUAUUUCUGUUCUCCUUUCUGCGAUAAUUAUGUGUAAUACUAAUCCUUGCAGAACACCGGGUCAACUUCCGAAAGUACGGGGUUUUACUUCCAAGCGGCUGUCAAAUUUCUUCAUGCUGCCUCUUUGUUGGAGAAUAUUGAUAGUGCCAAGCAUAAUGACAUGACUCAGUGCAUGCAAAUGUAUAGUAGCACCGCAAAACUAUGCAAGUAAGUCAAGUUUGAGCUGUAUUAAUACUUCUGUUCUCAUGGCACAUGCACUGGUUUUGGGUCUUGGUGAGUUGUGUUGACUUUUGCAACCUUGCUGUGAGUCCUUGUCUACCCUUCACGGAACCCUGCAUGUGUGAAUUGGGACCCAUAAUAUGGUUGUACGCAAUUUUAGGAAGUACUUUCAACUAUAUUUUUGUGGUUUUUUCCCUCAUGUGUUUGGACUUACAUCUAAAGCCUUUUUGGAUUGGGUUGGGAGGGGUCACAGAGACAGUGUCCUUUUGCAUAGCAUUAGCUCUUAAGAUGUAGGGAGUGAUCUUCUCAUAAUUGAUUUUGCCAUCUUUGGUCAUUAGAAUAGUUAUUGGCAUGUACUGUAGUAACAAUUGUAGGAGCCAUCCCAUUUUUUUAAGCGUUCUUUGCGGGCUUUUAUAUUUAUGGGUUCUGGAGCUUUCAUGCCUGUUCUGCUUUUCCUUAUUAAUUUAAAUUAUCUGUAGGUUUUGUGCUCAUGAAUAUGAGAAAGCCAAGGAUAUGGCUGCUGCUGCUUUGGCCUACAAAUGCAUGGAGGUGGCUUAUAUGAGGGCGGUAUACUGCUCACAUGCCAGUGCAAGCAGAGAUCGUUUUGAGUUGCAAAGAGCUUUACAAUUGGUUCCUCCUGGUAAAUUGACCAGUCUAAGUGAGCUGUUACUUGGUUCUAGAGGAGAUGCAAGGCUCUUAAUAGCCUUGUUUUGAAUUGUUGCUAAUUUGAUAUCCUUGCUGCUUUUCUAUCAGGUGAAUCUCCUUCUUCCUCUGCCUCUGAUGUUGAUAACCUAAAUAACCCCUCAACGGUUGACAAGGUUGCCUUACCCAAGGGCGUUAGCUCUCCCCAAGUUGCUGGAAACCAUGUUAUUGCUGCCCGAAACCGUCCCAAUUUCCUCCGGAUACUCAAUUUUGUAAGUUUAUAUAGAUCCUAUAUUGAAACUUCAAUUUGUUACGCUUGUACUGUUGCACAAAUUUUCAUCACAAUUAAUUUAUUCUAGAUUUUUAGUAUGUAUAACGUGGUCAGAGAAGGGCAUGAACAAGAAUUGACUAUCAAUUUAUUUAAGAAUGGGUAUUCUCCUUUUACAAUAGAGAGGUGUGGACAACGAAUGAACAUUUUGUAAAUAUGAUUACUUGCAGACUCAGGAUGUAAAUUUUGCAAUGGAAGCGUCGAGGAAAUCGCGGCUUGCAUUUGCAGCUGCUAAUACAAACACGGGAGAUGCUAAGCGUUCAGAAGGUAUUUCUGCCAUUAAAAGGGCUCUUGACUUUCACUUCCAAGACGUAGAAGGAUUGCUACAUUUGGUACGGCUCGCAAUGGAUGCUAUCAGCCGGUAAAAGAGGCAAGUAGUUUUGGGAUGAUUCAACCCUCGAAGGUUUAUCUAUUGGUGAAUCCUUGGUCUCAUGCCUUAAGAAGGGAGGAAAAAGAGGCUGUCCUUGAUACUUCUGCUGAACUGCUUGGAACUUUUGUUGAGGAACUGGUUGUUUCUCUUCUUGUUUCAAGUAGAUGACUCCUAGUCAUUUUAUUUUGUGGUCCUGAAUCUGCUUGCAAGCGCUGACAGAGACCAAACAGGUUAUUCAGAUCUCAAUUAUUUAUUUUGAGGUAUUGUGAACCAUCGUCAAGUACAGCUCUGCUGAAAAGGUUCUGAGCAGCUUCUGAAGGUGGAUUUACUUCAUCAAGAAUGUGAGGAGAGAUAUAAUAGUUGUAUAUAAGGACGAGAAAACGAGUUCUAAAAUCAAUAGGGGAUUUAUUUCGAGUCUCAAAACCAGAACUUACAGCUUUGGGGAUCCUUUAUUGUUCAGACUGUUAACUUAUCUUGAUAAUCCGUUAUCUUGAACUGUGUGGAGAAGACUCUGGCAGCUGCCAGUAUGUGCGCAAACUGUCUGAUCUGAUUCAACAGAUUGAGACCAUAUCAACACUGUAGAAAAUGGUGAAAACAAUGGAAACCGUAGGUAUGCUGUUGUUCUAAUAGAUAAUCUCUUAUUUUCCCCAUCAAACCUUUUUUUCUUUUCAGUUACCAUUUUAGUUGUUUGCACUUUUUUGUCUGAAUUUGAUUUUGAUACAUGUGCAGGUUGUCUUCACCUUUGUUGUAGUUAGGAUAUCCUCUUUUGCGUUAAUAGACACGAAAUCAGAAAAAGAAAAAAAAUACAUUAUCAGCGAAUUAUUGUCACGGUCAUGCAUGUUAGCUCCAACCUGCUGCGCUUGCCUGAGUUUCUUUCCUCAAAGGUUUGUUAGCUGUUAUUGUUGUGAAAGUUUGAUGAUUCAUUCUGUGUUCAUUCGUCUCCAACCGGCUUUCUGUUUUCACUUUCUCCUUCCAGUGGCUACAAUGUAUAUAUACAAAUUAUUGAAGAAUCUGCACGUGUUUCCGUCUGUAAAGAGAAGGGGAUCGGUUGGAUAUUAUUAGGUCGGUCCUUGAGAUCUAACAGGUAAGGUUCUAAUGCUUUUGUAAUGUUAAAUCUGUUCUCCAGACUUCAGAUAAUUAUAAUUACUUUUCCAUGCAUGAGAGUGAGAGGAGACAGCAUUGAACCCGAUUAUUCUAGCGUAGUGAUCUUCACAUUCCCGUUUUCUCCUUUUGCAUUUGUUUCCGUCUCUUGAUUCUCCUUGGAUUUAAUUCAGUCGAAGGACUAGAAAAAGCAAUAUCAACUCUAAUAAGAAUGCAAUGACUGAUCACCCCCUUAGUUCAAAUCUUGCAUUUAUAGGAGCAUAUAAUGUUUCGUUAACCGGACGGGGUCUCUGCUUGCAGGUUGAGCAGCGGGCGGGGGCGGUUCUCUAUCUAGUAGACAACUGAGUUCGAUGUGAUAUUCUUGUUUCGAGUUUUGCCGGAUGUGGGUAGUGCAUAGUUUCCGAAUAGCUAGUCACUAAACGAUUGUUUAGGUUUACACAAUAAGGUUUAGAAUUACUUCAAUAGUUGAUUACCCGUAGCGACAGCGAUAGUAAUUAUCCGGGUUUUGUCAAUAAAGCUUUGAGUUUGAAGGAAUGACAUUCAUGGCAGAAGCUGGAAGUGGAUACCUGUGUUACAACCGUUUUCAAAUAUUCGACUACUGAAUGCUGCUCAAAAUGUCGCCGGGAGCACCGAGCCUUUGAGAUUGGCAUAAUUUCUCACUUUGAUCUCUGAGAUUUAAAAUCAAUAGAAUUGGUCUCUUUUGUCUAUUGUUUAUGACAGAUUUGAGUUUUAUUGGUUUUCUAAAAAGACCACGUUUGUUACCAAAUUGCCCUUGAACACCGCCAUGCCACACCCGCCAUUUCGAGAGUUUGGAUCUGAUUUGAGUCAUCGGGUUCUCUUGGAGGCUUUGCGUCGAUGGGACUUCCAAAUAUCGCAGAUUUGAUUGCACGAGGAGCCGUUGGCAAUGCUCCGGGGAUGGAUGAACAUUUGAAGGGUGUUAGGGUUUAUGUUGUGUAGAGAGAGAGGUUAUAUAAAAAAUUCAAGUAAUGUGUACUUUUUUGUUUUUUCAUAAAUUAAAAAUUAUAAAAAAAAGAAAGAAAAGUCUUAAGAGUGGGGUGAAUUUAGAUAGAGUUGUGCUGCAAAUGGCUAUCUACCAUAGUGGUGGAAAUAAGUGUUGUCUUUGUACCAUUGCGUGAGUUCGAAUUCCUUCGGCUCUUUAAUCUAACAUCUAAUCUAAUAAAUUUAUCUUUUGAUAACAACAAAAAAACAAUAGAGUUGUGUUUAAAUAGAAAAACGGUAACGAAACCGAAAAGUAGUGUGUAAAUCAUUAUUUUUGUGAAAAUGAUAAUUGUUGAGUUUUUGGGAAGUCGAUGCUUGAACUUUAACAAGCUAGAUGGUUAUUAAACAUCUCAAAAAAACCGAUGAAAUCCUGAGUUAUAGCUCGCAAUUUUUAUUAAAAAUGUAACUUUUGAGUUUUCUUGAUAUCUUUUGCAUGUGUAAAUCUGUAAUAAGUAUUUUUUUUAUUAUUAUUAUUAGUUUUAACCUCAAAAGUAGAAAAUUAAGAAAAAUUCUAGCUGGAACAAAAACUAGCCAAAAUGUCAAUAAAAUCGUGAAUUAUAAUUCACAGUUUUUAUGACCAACAAACCUCACCCUUAAAUUACAUGGUCCCUUGGUCACCUGGCGACCAACGAAUGCUUUUAGGCCAUCUCUAACCAAAGGAGGGUCAAAAGGCUCCCUUUAGCCUUAUAGCUCUGCAAGAAAUUAUAUUUUAAUGAACAGUGAUAUACCAUAUUUUACACCAUCUCUAACCGAGAGGGCCAAAGGGCCAUAGGCUAGACAUAGCCCUUUGACAAAAAACUAUCUCCAACCGAGGGGGCCAAAGGGUCAUAAGUCAAAAUAAUUUAUUAGUUUAAUUAAAUUAAUAUGGUUAAUUAAAUUAAACUACGAUAUUAAAAUAAGAUUUUCGGACAUAUUUUGAGUGCCACUUGUCGCCAAAUGAAUAAGCCUUCGGAUUUCUUAUCUUUAUAUAAUCUCAAUAAUAUUUUGGAUAGGAUUUCGAGUAACACGUGUCGCUAACGUGAGUAACUCCAGAUUUCUUAUCUUUAUGUAAUCUCAAUAAUUUUUCGGAUAAGAUUUCGAAUGCCACGUGUCGAGAUGUAAUUGGUUGUGCAAAUUUUAGAUAGAAUUCUUAUCUAUGUGACACUUCUUAUCUUCAGUUUUCAAUGUUGUAGGAAUGGUGUAGGAAUUUAUAGGAUUUUUUUUUUAAAAUUCGUCCAAAAAAAAAAUAUUUCAAAUUCCAACGGUAACCUGACGGCUGCAUGACGUUAGCUAGCUGACGCCAAGUAGCCAUUGCCAUUCAAAUAGGCACCAGGUAGCCAUUGCCAUUCAAAUGGGUUGAGGUGGAGGGCUGGUAAAAUGUCAAGCUUGACAUUCUGGAGCGGGAGGGUUGGCAAAAUGUCAAGUUUGACAUUAUGGCGUUGGAGGCCUGGCUAGAAAUGGCUAGCCCACUGUCCUAGUUUUGGGGUUUGGGCCUUGUGGGGCCCACAAGCCCUUUGGCCUGCCCUCAGAUGGAGACGUUUUUCGUGUCAUUCCGAGCUAUUUUUAGCCAUAUGGUUCUUUGGCCAGGUCAGUUGAAGAUAGCCUUAAUGUCUCAAACUCAACUGUUGAUAUCAAAGAAUAAAUGUACGAAUUUGAAUAUCAAAUCAAGCGGUGAGUUGCCAUUUAUUCUUGGUCACUAGGUAAACCAAGAGAACAAAACUCACGAAGCAUAAACCAAAGACUUUUUAGCCGUAAGAGUCCCCUGAGAUUGGCUAAUCUCAUUUUGGUCCCUAACAAUAAAAUUUGAUAAAAGUGAUCCCUUUGUCCACCGUAUAUCAUUUUGAUCAUUCCGUAAAAAAUCUAUCAAUAUCCUCUUUAAAUUGUCACGUGAGCGACCACCUUUUUAAAGGUAUUUUUGUCACGCCAGACCCUCCACUUCACAAGAAUGUUAACUUUUUCAUGAAAUGACCAAAAUAAAUUUAAAGUGAACAAGCUCAUAGACCGCUCGUAUUGAUUUUCACGUUUAGAUACCAAAGUGGGUAAUUAUGUUAAUCUUGGGAGAAAAAGUUUACACUGGUUUGGACUUGGAAACCUCGUUAAGCAACCACGAACACAAAAAUCUUAAUAAUAUUUGCCAUUAAUAAAUAGUAGUAAUAAUAACAGGGAUAUGGGUCAAUUGCACAAAAAUGGCGUUAAGACCGGAUUGCACAAAAAUCUUCCACUCCUUCCAAAAUCCUAGCAUUUCUAAAAGAGCUGCACACAAUUUACAGCAGAUCUCUCGGCUCUCAAGUCCGAAGAAGAAGAAGAAGAAGAAACUAUGGUUCGAGCUUUCUGAUUAGGGUUUUCAACUAGUCCCUAGUAUAUACCCACGCAACCGAAUCAGGCAAGAUACUUGAACAUGUUGGGGUUUUCCUUGUCCCUCUCCAGGUAGUCCCGAGUGAUGAGAUCUUCAAUCCGCUUCUUAAUCGCUUUUAUGUCCGGCUGCACAUUUCAAGUCCGACCAUAACCCGUUGUCAGUACAGAUUAAACGGGAACAGAGAAACGCGGAAUAUAUAGAUAUGGACAUGAGAAUAUGAACGUAAAUUGAAAAUUGCAUUCAAUGACAAACAUAAUGUGGUACCUUGAACAUUUUUCCCAGCUGCUCAACGCACUCCAUGACUAAUUGUUGAUGACCCAAAACUUUUCGACUCUUCAUGAUCCUAACAAUAGCAGCAUCAAUAGCAUAUCUCCGGUCUUUGUCAACAUCUUCAAUCACCUUCUUCCUUUCGUCCACUGGUGGGAGAGGAAUCUAAGGAUAACAAAACAGCAAACUUUAAUUAAACUUCAACUAUCAGAACAAGAAUGAAGUGGAGAAAAGUAUAGGGAUCUCAGACCUUAAUUCUUCUCAUUUUAUCUGUGAACUUCUUGUUGAAUUCAAAGCUGUCAUUCGUUGAGAUGGUCUUUGUAAUUGGCUGCUUGGUGAGAAUCUUGUACUUGGCACACGAGAGCGAAUGAAGCAAUCUAACCAAGUCGUCGUGAGUAAGGUUCAACUGAGUCAGUAUUUCUGAAUAGCUCAAUUUAUCAGCACUGUUGAAGAGGAGCAAGAGAGCAGCCUGUGAAAAAAAAAGGCAACAAAAUAUAGUCCCCAUACUCGAAUACAAUCUUGAAAAGGUGACAUUCUGCCAAUGGCCAAAAUAAUUAAGCAAAAUAGUGCAAUAACCUGAUAGGUUGACACGACCAAUUCAAUCGGUCUGGUGUCAAACUUGCCAGUAACAUUGCACGUGCCCAAUGAGUAAAUCCAUGUAAGUUUCCGGUGUUUCGUUUUUGUUUCAUAGAAUGACUUGAAAACUUCAACACACCUAACCUGGAGCACAAAUAUAUAACAAACAUAUGGGCAUCAGGUAUACCGCAAUUGGGAACAUGUGUAUUUCCAAGCACAAUCUAUAUAUUUGCAGUGCUAAUCUUCAACAAACUAAAUAUUACCAUCUCUUCAGGAAGGUUAAGAUCAAACGAUUUAUAACUUGGCCAGUAGCCAGUUGUAAGUACAGUGACUGUCAAGUCCAUCCCAGGAUUUACAGCAGGGUUACUUUGAAGAUAUUCCUCAAACCCUUUCUGGUUGUCUCGAGCUAUUGUCAAAUCUGUGACCUGAAAGAUAAUUUAGGAAAUUUAAUUUAGGUCAAUAGAUAAGUUCAUAUGUCAGCAUAGGUCAAUAGAAACAAUUUUCUACUUCAACUAUGAUCAAUAAAAAUAAUUUUCCUAUCCAACUUAUGUCAAUCCUAGUAUUAAAAAUAAAGGAAACUAAUGAAAAGGGUUUGAAAACUUUGAGUUUUAAUGAUAAAGACAAAAUAAAGGGUAAAGUGAAUAGUACCAUAAUUGACUUUUUAGUGUAAAAAUGUGGUUUUUCGUUAAAGUGAACAGUACCGGGUGCUUUUCGUUAAAGUUCCCUAUUUAAAAAUACUCUGUGAUCUCAAAGACAAAUAUCUCUGGAAACAGAGGAAGAUAAUGAGAGUACUUGCAGGAUGUGCAUCAGAUGGAUAGAUAAUUGGAGGUAUAUCAUGUUUUCUUAUGUUGCACGUAAUUGUUAUGAAGUGACCCGGUAACCAGUAGCUUACUUUGUAGACACUGGAAAGGGUUGUUCCCCAAUUGGGGUUUUAACUCUCUUGCUCGAGAUAUAAACAUUUCCAUACGAAAUUAACCAUAGUUCGACAGAAAAAAAAGGGGGAACUAUCUCUAUUAAUGGUGGAGUAACAGUCAGAAACAUUCCCAGUGAAAAAAACAGGCCCACUCACCAUUCCCUCCAUUUUUGACGUAAACUGUCCACCACAUUGCUGCUUCAGCUUUGUCAGAAUACUUCUUUCGUGGUCCUCAUUGGCACUCCGAUCAAAAAGUAACCGACGGGCUAGUUUUUUCCUGUGUAUUGAAAACAGUUACUUAUUGUCUACUGAGCCGACACGCGCACACACACACACACAUAUGUUGAGUACAAAGACACUGUUACCUCUUCAUGAUCAUUUACCAUGUUGUCUACUGACCCACUGGCUAAAAGAACUCGUAUCACUUAUAUGACCCAAGACUUUGUACUAUUAACCAUUGGAUUUUCACAUAGUAACUGGUACAUGCCUUUUUAAAACACUAACCGGAAAGUAUCUGACAAGAACUUAAAUUGUAAGACACACAAAACCAUAUAUGGUAUAAACUGAGAGGAAAAAUAAACGAUUUACCUGUAGAAUUCUGCAUAAAGGUCUUUGUCACUGAUAUAAGCAAGCAGCUUAACAACCUGAAGAAAGUUAAAUGACAAUCUUAAAAUUAAUCAAAAGACUAAAUGAGUUCAAUAAGAAUUACCAAACGCAUCACCAACAAUAAAUGAAAAUUCGUAAUAUGAAAAACCCUCCAUAAAAUAAUACCUUCUCAAGCAUUUCUUCUAUGGCCUCAUCACUCAACUUAUCACUGCCACCCUUCUUGAGGAUAUUAUCACAGAAUCCAGCAAGUAAUUCAGCACUUGAACUCCCAGAAACGGAUUUAUUGCAAAAUACCUCAAAAGCCUCUUUCAAAGCCUAUUAAACAACCAAUAGAAAAGGCCCUUUAGAUAACGUAACAUGACAAAUGUAAAUAACACGAAUUCUGCAACACUAACCUUGUGAAAGAGUGUGUGGUUCUGAAAGCUUUCAUCAACAUAUUUCAUAUACUUGUCAUGCAGCUCAAUUAUGUUUUUGAUAAGAGCCUGAAAACCACAAAAGAUACAUCAACCACGGACCUCCAAUCACUGCCGAAAUUAUUAAAUAAUAGUAUUAAAUUAGUUACCUGUUCCUGUGUGCCAGCUCCACCUGAAGCCUGCAGAAGCAAUUUCGAUACAAAUUAACAACAUAAUCAUAAAAAGCAAGAUGAAUACGUAUAUAGUUCACUCCAGGAUGCUUAAUUGGAUUCACCAAUGCACACAUAAUAAAAAAUCAAAUAAUAAUACUGAUAAAAAGCCCUUGGCACACUUAGUCAACAAGCAUUCAAGAAAAGACAGCUUACUGUCAGGCCAGUAAAUUUCUAGCCAAAAAAAGGUCAACUUAAAACAAUCAUCUCAUUCCAGCAACACUUUAUUCUCUUCUGCCUCAAUAGAUUAGCACAUAUAAUGCCAUGAUCCAUUUGAACUUAAUAAGCGUUUGAGUCAAAGCUCCAAGAUGAGUAAUUAAAUGUGCAUCAAGCAACCAUGCAAUAACAUCAACUCAAACAUCACUCACUCAAAUCGUAAGUUGUAAUUAUACAAUGAAAAAACAUGUUAGUACAAAAGCAAGUUUCAUAUAUGUGUAUAUAUAUGGGUUAGGAUGAAGGGACAAACAUUUCAACACGUAUUUUUACACUUCUUUUCAAUCUUCAGAUUUAUCACAUCCAAGGGUCCAAAUUAAAAGUGAUGUGAAGACUUUAAAUCAACAAAUGACAUCUACAAGACGCACCAAAGACAUCUACGAAACGCAUCAAAUAGAGGCAACAUGCAGGAAUUUUAGUGAUUGGCAAUUACACUCCAGCAUGCAUACACCAAAACAGAAUACAAAACACAUCCAGCAAUCACACCUAUACUUAAGUUCAAUAUAUCUUUCAGGAUAAAUAUAUGGCAGCAAUAACACCAAGACACUAGUGAUAUGUCACUUUCAGCAUAAACAUAACGAGAUUCUUUUUUGCAGCAAACCCUAAACACAAGAAGAUAAUGAACCUGGUUAGCUGCAGCAUCUUCAGCCUGUUGAACCAAGGCUGUACCUUCGGCAGUAAUAUGCUGCAAACCAUCAAGUAUGUUAGUACUGUUGUAAUAAAUGAGCAUCUGAAAGAGAUCGGAAGAACACAAACAAAAAACAAACUAACCUGUUUAAAUACAAGACUAACAGGGUCCAAGCCUUUAGGUAUUUUGUUGUAAAGUCUAAAUAUCCUAGAAAGACCGUCAGCCUAGACACAAACAAGCAGACAUAGUCUUAGAAAUACAAUAGAAGAUAGAUUGCCAACAGGAUCAUAAACUGCCAGGCAACAAGAUACCUUAUCCAAUCUCAGUAAAGCACGACAUCCAGAACCCUCCUUCUCAAGCAGUUGAGUUGCAUAAACCACCAACAACUCAUGUUGCACUUUCUACAGGCAAGAGUGCAACUAUAAUUUAGAAGAACUUGAAAGAAAAUAACAUCAUAAUACAAGACAAAUGAGAUUAAAAAUAAUACAAAUUAUCAAACCAAAACUGUUUACACCACCUUUUCAAUUAUAGAAGCAGGGUCACAACAUUAGGCAAAUCAUACCACGUCCAAUGUAUCAGGUUGUUUUAAACCUUUUAUGCAUAUGUAAUGCAUCAGUAUGUUCCUUGCCACAUUCGAUGUUGCACAAUGUUGAUAGAUUUUCUAGAAUGGUACACCCUAUAAACUCCUAAUGCAUUAAUGCUAACACACCUCUAAAUGAUUCAAAUAUCAACAAUUGGCCCACAGGUUUCAUAAGACUCCUCUGAAAAAUUCACUUAUUUCCAACAUUCACGCAAGAUCCUAUAAUAUACAGGGGCACACAAAUAGUAUAUGCAUACCAUCCACUAUCUGGAUUCUAAAAAUAUAUUAUUAUACAUGGGCACCAAUGUACAUACAUUAAUAUAUAUAUAUAUACAUACAUACAUACACAAACCCUUUCUAUAUCACAGCUACCACAUAGCUACCAAUAUACACACAUACUAUCUACUAACUGGAUUCUCAAAAUGUAGUAUUACACAUUAACUAACCUCCACAAGCUUUUGUUCACUGCUUGAAUGAAGGUAGUUAUUAACUCUCUCCUUCUCCCUUUUCAAGCAUUCCUCUGCCUGUAUAAUUCCACAAGAGGUGUUAGACAAAAACUGAAAAUCCACUCUGUUUGAACACAUGAAAACUUGCCUUCAACAUGUACUCCGGACAAGAAUCUGUCAAAAUCCAAUUUGCUGCUUUACGAGAAUAGUAUUCACCACUAUCUAGUAGAAAGUGUGCUUCAAAGUCCUCUUCAUAAGACUCCAUUUGACCCAUUCCAAUUUCAACAAAUAUAUCUACCACAUUCUUCAAUAGUGCUCUAUCAAUCUGCUCUCCCUCACGUUCUUUAUCAAUCUGAUUGGUCAUACAACAUUCAUCAUGGCCAGGAUACACAUACAUAAACAUAGACUUGAUCAUGAAGCAAUAAACUUACAAGACCAAUAACAGCAAUUCUGGCAUUAGCAUUGACCUCCCGAUAAACCUGAGGUUGCAUAUUAAAGACAUUUGAGAUUACUGAAUCCCCUUUCGAAAAACAACAAAGCAUAUAAGGGUGAGGAGGUAUUUUUGCAUAAAGUAUGUAUAAACAUAUAAAUGAUCCAAUAACUAACCAAAUCACGAAAGCAGGUUAGUCCAACUUCCUUGAGUGCAGGAAGUGACCUUCUUGCAAUGAAGUAACGAUCAAGGUAAUGAAAGAAGCGUGAUAGCCACCUAACCAUCAGUUUAUGGUUUGCCCAUCUUUUAACAAGCUCCCGCAGCAUAAACUCAUCAUGCUUCUCUCUAAGAGCAGGCAGCACCUAAUAGAUGAACAACCAAAUAAGACUACGAAGUUCAGAAAAUAAUGAAAGAAUGUCGCUUUAGUUAAUGAUCAGGAGAAAGAAACCAUUAGCAAACAUCUCAGGAUGUUCCUCGAUCCUCACCGUUGAAGUAAUGUAUUCCUCAAAUGCCUCCCGAUAUUUGUCAUAUAGCUGCUGAGAGUAAUCAUUGGGGGGCUUCUGAGUACACAUGUUAUAGAUGGUUCUGUACUUAAAGUUAAGGAAAGGUUCACCUCGGAGAACGCACCAAUAAGGAGCAAAUAAAAGAAACACAAAGUGUUUAAAUAAUAUAUACAAAACAACCAAAGGAUACGUGUAAGCAUCAUAUAUUCUUCUGAGUUGAACUGAGGCUCCGGUAACCCCUCUAGGAUCUUCUUCAGCUUCGUGAUCCCCUUCUGCAUAUAGUCCCAUCCUUGAUCCAACUCAAUAACUUUGCGCUCCAUUUGUUUGAAACAAAAGUUUCGCUACCGUCCCACUACAAUUCUAUCAACAUAGAAAGAAAAAAAAAACCCCAACAAAAGGUUAACCAUAUAGCCCACUUGUACAUUCUCGAGUACACAUACUGUUUAUGUGCAAGUUCAUUUGUGUUAAAAUUUGGAAAUGAUUACAGAGUAACCCCCAAUAGUCAUGCCAAAUGAUUGGCAAAUAUAUAACAACCAUAUAUUCCAUAACAUCAACCGAAAAAUGUAUGGCGCCAAUAAGUAAUGACAAACGACGAACAAACCAUGGUAAUCAAAGCAGUAUAGCAAUGCCAUUAAAGUCAUGGAGAACAACCCCAGAUUAAAUCAUGAACAAACAACCCUAAAUAGAUGAUGAUCAAGUGAUGACACGGGAAGCCCCUAGAUAGAUAAUAAACAAACAAAAAUUGGGAAUCAUUAUCCCACACAGAACAUAUAAACAAUGCCAACCAAAUAAACCCCUAAAAACAAACAGAUCGCUGGAAAAAAAAAAAAAAAAAAAAAAACCCAAAAAAGUAGAAACAAAACCCAUAAUCCUAUACCACAAACAAGUACAUAUUACACAGCGAAGAACAACAAGGAGACCGUAGAAUCGAAGCUGACGAAGAAAAAAAGGACUGCCGCUGCGUGCGGGAUUACAACAUUCGAAACAAUGGGAAGAAGUUGCGGAGGAAGAAAGAUUGUACCUUCCCAAAGAAUUCGAAACGACGGGAAACCCAAAUCGCAGAGAGAGAGAGUGCGUCGGACGGAGAGCGGAGAGAGCUAGGGAAAAUCCACAAAUCCAAUCCCUGGAAAUCGCGGAGAGGAAAAUAGUGGGAGGACGAGGACGAGAGAAAGAGGCUAAUCGGAAAUCAGGCUUUUCUUCCGUUUUAUAUAGAAAAAAUGCCAGGACGAAAAUAGUCAGCCAAAUUCUAAAAUAGGCUCUGCGGAAAAUAGUAGGAAUUUUUAAGCCUAUAUUUGUAAAUUAAGUGAUCCGUCAUACGUCAUUGAGACGAUAUAAGUACACUGCUUAAACCUUUUUUUUUGGCAAACGAUAUAUUUUGUUAGAUUAGUUACCGACGGUAUUCGAACUCACACUGUAAUGCAAAAACUCAACACAUUUCUACCGCUUGUCACAUUACUUAAUACUGAAGUAACAGUUCAAUUAUUUACAAUUACGUCAUAUAGUUUAUAACAUAUGAUUUAAAUAGAUGACAUUCUUAGCAUUACUCUAAUAAUAAUGUCUCCAUUAAUUUUUUUAUGAGUAUUUUUCAAACGGACCUUGAUUGUCUGUCCUCCUCAUCUCAUACCCUUCUUAUCCUCUUUUAUUUAUGUGGUCACGAUUAAACCACGUCAACAUUUUAUAUUGAUUUUUUUUAUAAAAAUAAUAAGAUAAAAAGUAAUGAGAAUAUAAAAUGUUGAUGUGACUUAACCGUGACUAUAAGAAAGGAUGAGAAUAGUAUGGAAUGAGGAUGGCAGACAAUUCAAAUCCUUUUCAAACUGCUCUUAAAAUAGUUAAAAGUCUUUUUUUGAAUGAUUAAAGUCAGUUUUCGUAUGACUUGUUGGAAAAUUUAUUAGUCUUGAAACGCAAGUAGGAACGAGUGGGGGAUUGUCUAUUAUUGCAUGUUAUUUAGAGUCUUCCUCUUCUCCUCUCUCAACACUAUUUAAAUUACUUUUUAGUUAUUUAAAAAAAAAAAUCCAACAAGUAUGAGUGCCUUUUAGAAAAAUCACUUGAAUUUUGAAUAAAAAAUUAGACAUGCUUUUGGUGUAAUCACUUCUUACAAAAACCAGCAUAAUGCUUCCCAACAAAAGCGAUUUCGAAGACUAUAGAAAAUAAUAUUUUGUUGUUUUCAUUAAAUUAAAAAUAAAAAAAAAACCAAUUAGCAAAAUCCUUUAACUACUAUGUUCUUGUUGAAUUGUUUAUAUAAAUAUUUAUUUUGUUGGAAGGUUUAUCUUGUUCUUUAAACCGGAGAGGCGUACUAGGAAUAGAUAAAAAAAUAAAUAUAUAAAAAAAAUAGAAAGAAUUGUCUUAUAUUGUUGGACUCCGUAAGCCCAAAGCCCGAACCUCAAUUCAUUAAGCCCAUAAAAAUAUGGGUCGUCCCAUUAACCUUAUUGUACGGAACAUAAAGCCCAAACAUUUUAUGGGCUCUGUGUGCUGCGGCUUAUGGACUUUAUGUACAUUUUAGGGUUUAGGAACCAAAAUUUUCGGAAAAUUUUAAGGUCGAAACAAUUUCGGAUUCGGAAUGGAAAUUUUCGAUUCGGAUUGGCGCUUCCAAUUCAAUUUGCACCCCUACUUGCAUGGUAUGUAUAUGAGAUAAAGAUUGAUUAUGGAAUAAACAUCCAUGUUAAGGAGAUGCCCUUAAUUUUUAGGUAUUUCAUACCGAAAUUCAUGUAGGAUUCACCUUUUUAUUCAUUCCCUUGUCCCUUGGUGUUAGUAAACAAAGGCUAUAACAAUUGAACGUGCUCUUUCCAAGCUGAAUGCACACUAGUAGCCUGCCACGUGAAUCAUUUUGACAGAUAGUUGUUAUUAGUUGGUAAGGUUACGCACUCACUUUGAGCCAACUAAUUGACCAUUGCAUGAGAAUCCGACCCAUAGGAAGAGAUACGACUAUUGAAUGUUUCAGUUACCUAAACGUGUUGGAUUCGGAUCACAAAAUUGAACACAAUUCAAUUACUAAACGUGUAAUCGAAUACUUGUUGACCCUAAAAACUAUCAAGCUUACAUGGGCGCGCAGGCCAAAUGAUUAAUAAGCUAACUACAUUAUUCGGUUGUAUGCGAGGUGUGCCAACUCGUUGGUCGAGGAGUAAAAUAUGUUGAUAUCGCGUGCGGCGUGCUGUUGACUUCUCGAUCUUGCUACUACAGCUGAAGAAGGAUCACGUCUUGGCCUUCGGGUUUUAGAGCCUGAAGACAAGGCUGUUAGUUCUGCGAAGUUCACAAAUCGUCCGGGUUCAGUCUCGGUAAUUAUAUUCGUGAGAGUAUAAGUACACCGAACUGGUAUCAGACUAUACGAACACAAAUACUUGAAAGAGAUAAAUGUCUUGAUGGUAAAUGUGGUUCGACCAUUGGAAUGCUGAACUCUAAAAUGUACUUGUCAAUAUCCAAUCAUAAAAUAAAACUCGGCGUUCAAUGUGCUGAGCCUAGUAACCUAUAACACCUCACUUCACCAAGAAAGCUGAUGAGAUGACAUCUACCAACAAGAACUGGAAAAUCCUUAUUGACCGAGAUUUGGAUAAAUAACCAGUCGAUCUCGAAGCAGUGUUGUCUAUCCAAACUUAAGGUGCUCCUCGGUUGGCUAAUUCUACUACUCAAGUGCUGUCUAUCCAAACUGAAUAUGUCGCCAGUUGCCUUCACAAUGAUGUUUAUCCAAACUGAAGAUGUGUUGGUGGGAAGAAAAGGGGAGAGGAAAAAAUCUCAGGGUUGUUGAGAAGCUUUGCGCAGGGCACUUUGUGUGUUGAUUUAAAGUGGGCAUGAAUGAUGCACUCCCUUCUCUAUUAAUAAUAACGAACCCCCCUUAUGGUCAAACUAGAGAUGCACUUGGAUUAGAACUCCUUAUCCCAAUCUGAUCAGGUUUCGGCCAAUCCUAACCCCUAUAUGACUUUGAACCAAGCUCAUUAACAAGUAAGAUUCAUUCCCUAAUUCUAAGCAUCUUUAGCUUUAAGACUCCUUGUUAAACUAGGGUUCGACUACCUCACCCUUAUCUUAAACCAAUCUUCAUUGCAACAGGAUUUGGCCAACCUUGACUGGACAACCCAUGACAAGAUUCUAGAAGAAUGUUAUUGGGCCAAGAAUGACUCUAAGCUCGGCCCAAAAAUAUUAUUUUGGGCCCAAACAAGACUUUAUGGUGAUCGGGUUAGUUCGAUUUGGUUGACGGUUUUCAAGUCCUUAUCCACCUUCGACACAACACAGGUUGGUUUAAUGUCCAAAAACCGACCAACUCCGUCCCUCAUGAAUUCGCCUAUGACCUGAAUCGAACAAUAAUUUUGGGCUGGUAUAUCGAUUUUGCGAUUAAAAUGUCCUACCCUACAUCCUUGUUAGAAAAAGAUGCUCAACUUGGUUGAGUCCUGUUUGGUGUCAAUUAAACAGUUAAACAUCGUAAAAUAUCCGGGCCAUACAUUCGCCCCCUAUAUUCUUUAUUUUUUAAUUGGCCCUUACUUUCGCCCUUCAUUGUUUUUUUUUUAUUUUUUGUUUUUUUUUAUAUUUUGAAUAGUAACCCUCACAUAUGUUGGUCCCAAAUGGACCAACGCUUAAAUAUAAGGAAAACUAAUUAAAAGUACUUGAAAACUUUGAGUUUUAACGAUAAGGACAAAAUAAAGGGUAAAGUGAAUAGUAUUAGGUUUGACUUUUUAGUGUAAAAAUAUGAUUUUUCGUUAAAGUGAACAGUAUCGAGAACUUUUCGUUAAAACUCCCUUAAAUGUAUAAUCAAAAUUCUGAUAAAUAAAUUACCAAAAUUAAAUAGACGGAUUCAUAGCAUUACUUUUUUAUAUAAUUUUUUUACAAAUAUUUUGUGAAGUUUAUUUCAUAAUGUGUUUUAACAAUUCGAGCUGUUUAUUUUUUAAAUAUUCCUUCUAAGAUUAUGUCUAUAAAAAAUCACUUAAUUUUGAAACUACAUGACGAUUGAAUUGAGAAUUUAGGAUUUCUUUGUAAAAUUGUAUUCCUCAAUUUUCUUCACUACAAAUAAAUAUUUUAAUAGUUUUAAAUUUGUCUAAUUUUUUGUAAAGAUAAUCUAUAAAUAAAAUUUUAAAAAAUAAACUAUUCAAAAUAUUAAAAUAUAUUACAAAGUGCGCUUUCACAAAUUAUGUAAAAAAUUGAUACGCGAAUCCAUCACGAAUUAAAUUAUUAAGAUAAAUAUAUAUGGCAAAAUUGUAACCGUUGCUUCUUCAUCUUCAUCCUAAAUGUAAUGCAUAAAAAACUCCAAAAACUCCACUAAUAUUCUUCCUAAUUUUCUUUCGGUCAGGAAAAAGUAAUGCAACGUUUUCAAUUUAGUCAACAUUUUUUGUUGGCACUACGAUCAAAGUAAGUACAGUGAUUGCAUAUUUUAAUGGGAACUGAAUAAAUCAAGAGGCACAGAACUGAAGACAAAAGGAUAGAAAGAUGGGUGGUGGUGAAAGCGAAGAGGGGAAGACGCUAGAGUUCACGCCGACAUGGGUGGUCGCGGCGGUGUGCACGGUGAUCGUCCCCCUUUCUCUUGCCGCCGAGCGCUUCCUCCACUACGGCGACAAGUACCUGAAGAGGAAGAACCAGACAUCGCUCUACGAAGCGUUGCAGAAAAUCAAGGAGGAGCUUAUGCUUAUGGGGUUCAUCUCUCUGCUCCUCACCGUCUUCCAGAACCUCAUCUCCAAGUUCUGCGCCUCGGAGGACGUGAUGGCGCAUCUCUUGCCGUGCAAACUCCCCGGCAAGGCUGAGGGGGCAGAACCCACCUCCCAUUUGCGCGGAAUGCGGCGGCUCUUCGCGGAGGAGGGGUCGUCGCAGAUCGGGUACUGCGCCAAAAAACACAAGGUGCCAUUGCUGUCGCUCGAAGCUCUGCACCAUCUGCACAUCUUCAUCUUCGUCCUCGCCAUCGUCCACGUCCGCUUCUGCAUUACCCUGCCACGUGAAUCAUUCUGAUGGAUAGUUGUUAGUUGGUAAGGUUAUGCACUCGCUUCAAUUACUAAACGUCUAAUUGAAGACUUUAUGGUGAUCGGGUUAGUUCGGUUUGGUUGACGGUUUUCAAGUCCUUAUCCACCUUCGACACAACGCAGGUUGGUUCAGCGUCCAAAAACCGACCAACUCCCUCCCUAGCGGAUUCACCUCAACCUGAAUCGAACAGUAAUUUUGGUUUGGUAUAUCGAUUUUGCGAUUAAAAUGUCCUACCCUACAUCCUUGUUGGAAAAAGACGCUCAACUGGCAACGGUUGAGUUCCAUUUGGUGUCAAUUAAACGGUUAAACAUCGUAAUAAGUACUGGUUUGGUACUGAUGUUUAUAAAAAAUGGAUAUACUUUAAACACUUAAAAAUAAUUUAUUUUCACAGUUUUAAGUGAAAAAAAAUUGAAAACAUAAAGCAACAAAAUUAAACUUAUUUUCAUACACAAUAUUAAUUUUUUUUCAAAACACAGUAAUACCAAAUCAUUCCUAAAUCCGGCGCAUACCUUCUCCCCGCAUUUUUUUUAUUUUUUAAUUGGCCCUUACUUUCGCCCCCACAAUUUUGUUUAAUUUUUAAUUUUAUUUUUAUAUUUUGAAUAGUAACCCCCACGUAUGUUGGUCCCAAAGGGCUGACAGUGAUAAGCUAUGAGUUGUCCUUUGGACCGACGCUUAAAUAUAUAAUUAAAAUUCUGAUAAAUAAAUAAUCAAAAUUAAACCGACGGAUUUGUAGCAUUAUUUUUUUAUAUAACUUUUUUACAAAUAUUUUGUGAAUUCUAUUUCAUAAUGCAUUUUAACAAUUCGAGCGGUUUAUUUUUUAAAUCUUUUGUCUACCAAAAAUUAUCUAAUUCUGAAAUUAUAUGACAAUUGAAUUAAGAAUUUAUGAUUUCUUUGUAAAAUAGUAUUCCUCAAUUUUUUUUACUAUAUAUGAAUAUUUUAAUAAUUUUAAAUUUAUCUAAUUUUUUGUAGGAAUAAUUUAUAUAUAAAAUUUUAAAAAAUGAACUAUUCGAAUUAUUAAAAUAUAUUACGAAGUACGCUCUUACAAAUUAUGUAAAAAAUUGGUACAAGGAUCCAUCAAGAAUUAAAUUAUUAAGAUAAAUAUAUAUGGCAAAAUUGUAACCGUUGCUUCUUAAUCUUCAUCCUAAUACAAAACUCCAAAAAAUCAACAAAUUUUCUUCCUAAUUUUCUUUCGGUCAGAAAAAAGUAGGGCAACUUUUUCAAUUUAGUCAACAAUUUUUGUUGGCACUACGAUUAAAGUAAGUACAGUGAUUGCAUAUUUUAAUGGGAACUGAAAAAAUCAAGAGGCACAGAACUGAAGACAAAUAGAUAGAAAGAUGAGUGGUGGUGAAAGCGAAGAGGGGCGGACGCUAGAGUUGACGCCGACAUGGGUGGUCGCGGCGGUGUGCACGGUGAUCGUCGCCCUUUCUCUUGCCGCCGAGCGCUUCCUCCACUACGGCGGCAAGUACCUGAAGAAGAAGAACCAGACAUCGCUCUACGAAGCGUUGCAGAAAAUCAAGGAGGAGCUUAUGCUUCUGGGGUUCAUCUCUCUGCUCCUCACCGUCUUCCAGAACCCCAUCUCCAAGUUCUGCGUCUCGGAGGACGUGAUGGCGCAUCUCUUGCCGUGCAAACUCCCCGCCGAGGCUGAGGAGGCAGAACCCACCUCCCAUUUGGGCGGAAUGCGGCGGCUCUUCGCGGAGGAGGGGUCGUUGCAGAUCGGGUACUGCGCCAAAAAACACAAGGUGCCGUUGCUGUCGCUCGAAGCUCUGCACCAUCUGCACAUCUUCAUCUUCGUCCUCGCCAUCGUCCACGUCACCUUCUGCGUUUUGACUGUGGUUUUCGGAGGGAUUCAGAUUCGCCGAUGGAAAGUGUGGGAGGAUGCGAUCGCGAAGGAGAAUUACGACGCGGAGCAACUUCUCAAGAAGAAAAAAGUUAAAAAAGUUACCCAUGUCCACCAGCACGCGUUUAUCCGUGACCAUUUUCUGGGCAUGGGUAAAAAUUCGGUCUUUCUCGGUUGGUUUCAUUCGUUCAUCAAGCAGUUUUACGCAUCCGUGACUAAAUCCGAUUACAUCACGCUUCGGCUCGGAUUCAUCAACACGCAUUGCAGGGGAAACCCCAAAUUCAAUUUCCACAAGUACAUGAUGCGGUCUUUGGAGGACGAUUUCAAGAAAGUUGUUGGCAUCAGUUGGUAUCUGUGGAUCUUUGUGGUGAUCUUCCUGCUGAUGAACAUCAACGGCUGGCACACUUACUUCUGGAUCGCUUUCGUCCCCUUCUUGCUUCUGCUCGCCGUGGGGACGAAGCUCGAGCACAUCAUCACCCAAUUGGCACACGAAGUUGCAGAGAAACAUAUAGCAGUCGAAGGGGACCUCGUUGUGCAGCCGUCAGACGAUCAUUUCUGGUUCGGAAAACCCAGACUAGUUCUGUUCUUGAUCCAUUUUAUACUGUUCCAGAACGCUUUCGAAAUCGCCUUCUUUUUCUGGAUUUGGCUUCAGUACGGGUUCGAUUCCUGCAUCAUGGGGCAAGUGAAGUACAUUGUGCCGAGGCUGAUCAUCGGGGUGUUCAUACAGGUGCUCUGCAGCUACAGCACGCUGCCGCUUUACGCCAUUGUUACGCAGAUGGGGACUCAUUUCAAGAAGGCGAUUUUCGACGACCAUGUGCAGGUGGGGCUUGUGGGUUGGGCGCAGAAGGUGAAGAAGAAGAAGGCAAUGCAGGCUGCGAAUGCCAACGAUGCUUCUGAUUCUGGACAGGGAAGUUCCCAUGAGGGUUCUGCAGCUGGUUCUGUGGGAAUUCAGAUGGCCAAGUUUAUGAACAAGGCAACUAAGAAGGAGGAGAGAGUAACUGAAGAUAAUUAAAUUAAGUUAUAUAUUUUUCUUUAUUUUUUUUAGAAUUAAUUGAAGUUAUAGCAAACAGAAGUUUGGAUCUUGGAUGUUUAGCUUGUCUUGUUUCUUGCUUGAGUUUCUAAUUUAAGGUUGUGUGUGGACUGGAUUGCAAUAUUAUAACACGCCUAUUUUAUCGCCUACGCUUCUUAUUAAUUUCUAUCAUUUGAUUUUUUUCAAUUUAUAUGAUAUGAUGGAUAAAAAUUGAGAAUGGUGUAUGGAAUACACUGCCCUGUUAUAUAUGCAAGUAGGUUUUGGUUAUUUUUGUCAAUGUCUAGCCAAAUGCAUUUCUUGCUCUAAAAUCCAAAAACUUGGGGGAAAGGGGUUGGCUACCUAACUUACUACCCUCUUUCAAAUUAAUAAAUUAUUGGAAAUGAUAUCCGCGUGUUCAUUUGUAUUUGUGUUUUUUUUAAUUAUUUUAUGAUCCAUUCAAUUCAAAUAUCGUAAAUAAAUACGUCUGUUACGUGUAAGAGGAAAAAAAAGAGUUUGAAAAUCACUUAUUCCAAUUAUAAUAAGGACUUGUUUCAAGGUUAUUUAAAAUAACUUAAAACACUUCUCUCACUUUAAGUGCUUCAUGCAUAAAGUACAUAUAUGAUACUUAUUUCUAAAAACACUUAAAGUGCUUUUGAGAUCUGAAAUCAAUUUCAUCAAAAACAAUUUUAAUCAUUUCAAUAGCAUUUUCAAAAGAGACAUAAGAAAAUAUAAAUUCAUAAUAUAUAGAGGUUUACAAUUCUUGAAAACGUAUAGCAGUACAAGUAUGCAAUCCUCUAAAUAAAAUAAAAGAUAUCUUAUAUAUAAGGAGUCAAACAGUACCAAUUAUAAUAUUCUUGCAAAAUUAACUAUCUUAACAUAGUUCAUCAGAGUUCCACUUAGAAAGUCGAUGAAACCGAAACAACAUAGGGCUCUUAACUCAAAUCCUUUGUCAUAAUUUAUUUGUCAAAUAAAAACAUAACACAUAUGACCAUGACAGUUGUUGAUAUCUUGGUAAUUAUUUAAAAAUGCGACUCCAAGCUAACAAGACUUCUCGCUUUAUAAGAUCAGAGAAAACGUCUAUCGUAUGCAUCUUUACCCUUACUUUGCAAAGAUGUUAUUUCCACGACUCGAACAUGUGACAUUUUUAUCACAAAUGAGCUACUUUUCCGGUGCUCAAAUGUUCACCUUCCAUAUAAUAGUUAUUUAAUUACAUAUAAAUUAUAAUUCACCAAUAGUCUAUCAUACAUGUUUUCAAAUUUCAAGAAUUUUGAUCCAUCCCUCAAAUUCCACAUCAUAUGUGACAUAGUUUAUAACAAGUACUCAAAGCCUAGGUGUGGCUCCAAGACCCCAAAAAUAUGAGAGUUCUAAUGGGGUCUUCUGCAGAGCAGCUCCACCUCCUCCUCUCAACUGGUUUGGAAACUAAAAGAGCCCUACUAUUUCUUUGAUCUCCUUGGUUGGCCAUGACCACCGCGGCGGCCUGAUAAGCCUGCCGGCCGGAACAUCUCUCGGAAACCCCUCGUCGGUUCUUCACACAGAGAACUCUCCCCACAGAUGUUUUGGGGCUUCAUUCUUGAAGGUAGUCUCUGUGUUUGUUGUUUGGCCACAAGGGUAAGAUAUUAGAACUGCUUAUGGCCUUGCCUUGGUUUUUAUAGAAGAACAAAAUGGUAGGAACAUGCUGACGUGGCCACUAUUGUCAAUGGGUUAGGUAAUUAAAAAAAUGAUGAUUUUCUUUUUUGAGGUGAAAAUAAAAGAUGCUGUGAAUUAUUGAAGUGGUGACCCAACUAGACCAGUAUAAUUAUACAAUAUUGAUUCCUUCUGAAGACAUGAGGAAAUGUUUAAUAGUAAGAAAUUGUGCAGGUGGGGAGCAUGGGUUCAUAUCAUAGGAAUGAAAUCCACUCCGAAAUCUUUCUUUUUUGGAGUCUCCGGACCAAGAGAUUCAAACUGUUUGAGAGAGAGAGAGAGAGAGAGAGAGAGAGAGAGAGAGAGAGAGAGAGAGAUCUUAGCCGUUUGAUUUUUGAAUUUUUGUGAACUGGGUUAGUGAAAUAGGCUAAUGGAGGUCAUAUGGUUGAAAUUAAGUGAUCCAUGUCUCUUAGUUCAUAACUCUAAACACAGAAAUCCAGAACGAAUCUCAAUCUCAUAUCAUAUGACACAUGUUGAAUCCAAUGCCACGUUCUAGAGGAAUGUGUGCUCAUUGUGCUUUUGUCAUAUGCCAAUAUUGAUAGCUAGUUGGCUACUUAGUUGAUAGCUGGAAUCGAAUAAAGUUGGCUACUUACAUGUAAACAAUGAUUAAAGUAUUGAUAUAGGUGAAAAUACCGAUAUUGAUAUUGGUUGUUGUCUUUGACGGAAAUAUGGAAAUUGAUGAAUAUGUCAACUCAUUCAAAUGUAGUUGAAAUUAGAGAAAAAUUCUUUAAAAAGUUCAAAAGUUCGAAAUCUGCAACAGGUUGCAGCAAAAUUUAUGUAGUGAAUCGAUAAAUAUCAUCGAUAUUCAUUGAUCUUCUUAUAUCUUACUGAUAUAGGGUGAAGUUUGCAUUUCAUCUCCCCCUUUCUAUAGCGAUCCUUAAUUUUUCAAAUAUUUCGACGGAAAUAUAAAAAGAUUUGUGAAUAUUUUAAACACUAAAUGUAAGUAGUUUUCUUUAUAUUUGUAAGUUAUAGUCUGAUUGACUAUAAAUUACGAAAACAAUAUUUGCACACUUGUUUAAAUGUAAUUUGUCUAUAAAAAUAACUCUAUACGUGUAAGAAACCAAGUGAUUUCGGUGAAAGAAACUGAAAGAAUAUCGUAUAGAAUUCCAACUUAUGUUGUGCUAAAAAUUUGUAAGAUGCCCCUUUCACAUCCGAGUACGUAGAUUCCAAAGGUUUCAAAUCAAAAGGAGCAAAAUGUUGAUGGGAAGCUAUCAACCUGAAGAUGCUUUACUCACUGUGUUAAGAUAAUCCACUUAUGGCUGUAUGUUCACUUCCAACUCACAAGAUGAAAUGGUGGGAAGAGGAGGGGCAUUUCAUGACCUAGUUUAGUGAUAUUCGGUUCCUAUUUUGUUAGAAUCGUCUUGAGUUCAAUUCUUAUGUUUUUUCAUACAAGCGAUACUCGGGAGGGGAGUUAAACUUAGAAUCUCGAUUGCAGAAAUAAAUACGCUUUACUAUUUGAGUUACAUGCUCCUCAACAAGUUAUAUUGUGCAAAGAAUAUGCCCCUUUCAAAUCCGAAUACAUUUUUUAACAAACUUAGAUUCGAAAUGAGCAAACUUUGAUGGGGAGCUGUCAAAAUAAGAUACGUUAUUGCUCACUGUGAAUUGACUCUUUGGUUUUUCACUGUAGUUUAAUUUAGUGUGAUACUUAUCUAUAGAAAUUAAGUAACCUAAGUUUGAUUUUUUUUUUUCUAAAUGAAAAAUGAUUAGGCGAGAUUCACUCUUCAAUGAUAACUACGCGUGAGGCACCUACCCUCCUUGAAGGGGAGAUGACCAUUCGACACAAAAACCUAUAACACACUUGAUACACUAGUGGAGGGCCUUAGAAUGAGAUCCUCUCCGGAUCCUCUUUGUGAUGAUUUUUAGUAUCCUCAAAUCAUGUCCGUUUAUCGUACAUCGUACGGUUAAAAAUCAUUUUAAAUAUUUUUAUUUAAAAUUAAACAUAAACAGUACUUAACGAAAACUGACCGCACGAUGUAUGAUGAACGGACAUGAUUUGAGGAUUCCCAACAUCCUCACAAAGUGGAUCAUCAUUUGAGGGCCUUAUAGCACCGAUUGACCUUUGGUUGCCCAUCCACAUACCUCUCUUAUCUUGUCCAAUUGUUUUUGUCAUAUAGUGCCAUCAAGUCGAGCUUUAGUUUAGUGAUUCUUAGUUUUUUUACUUUGUGAGAAGUUUCGAGUUUAAUUUUUUGUUUUUUUAUACAAGUGAUAUUGUAGCAGGAGAGUCAAAUCCAUAUGAUAAUUAUUUAAUCACACAUAAAUUAUACUUCACCAAUAGUAUAUCAUACAUGUUUUCAAAUUUCAAUAAUUUUGAUCCACAAUCCAAAUUCUACAUCAUAUUUUACAUAGUUUAUAACAAGUAUUCAAAGUCUAGGUAUGGCUCCAAGACCCUAAGAAUAUGAGAGUUCUAAUGGGGUCUUCUGCAGGGUAGCUCCACCUUCUCUCAAUUGGUUUGGGAACCAAGAGACCCCUACCAUUAUUUUGAGCUCCAUGCCUAGACAUAACCACCACGGCGGCCUGAUAAGCCUGACGGAGCGUCUCCCGGAAACCCCUCGUCGGUUCUUCACACAGAGAACUCUCCCCACAGAUGUUUUGGGUCUUCAUUCUUGAAGGUGGUCUAUGUGUUUGUUGCUUGGCCAAGAGGGGUACGAUAUUAGAAUUGCUUAUGGCCCUGCCUUGGUUUUUAUAGAACAAAACGGUAGGAACAUGCUGACGUGGCCACUAUUGUCACGUCAUCACGUGGGUUACAUAAUUAAAAAAAAUCAUGAUUUUGGUUUGCCAAAAAAAAAAAAAAUCAUGAUUUUGUAUUUUGGGGUCCAAAUAAAAGGGAAAGAAAUCAUCUCUUCCACUAAGAUCAUCGAAUCAAGUUAUCCGGGUCUUUAAAAUUUCAUCUAACUAUCAAAAGUUAUUAUAUCUUUUAAGGAAUUAAAACAGGUAGACAGUUAGAUGAAAUUUUAAAGAUCAUAAUCACUUAAUCCGAUGAUCUUGGUGAAAGAGAUCCCGAAAUGAUCUCUAUGCUGUGAAUUAUUGAAGUGGUGACCCAACUAGACUAGAAUAAAUGUACGAUAUUCAUUAUUUUUGGAAGACGAGGAGAUGUUUAAUAGUAACAAAUUGUGCAGGUGGGGAGCAUAAGACACAUAUUGAUAGCUGGAAGGAACACUGGAUGGCUACUUACAUGCAAUUAGUUUUUUUUUUUUUUUUUUAAUAUGUAUUUGUAAGUUAUUGUUUUAUACAUAUGUUAUUGUGAUUAGUGGCAGAUGUAUAUUGGGAAUAAGGUGGUCCGGAACAACUCGAAUCUCGAAAAUAUGCAUUUGAAAGUCUUUUAAAGAAUCUUUAGAAUAUUUGGUAUGGAUUUUUUUUGUGUCUACCAAGUGUUUGAUCUAAUGUUUGUUAGCCAUAUCUCUGCAGGUUGCCUUGACUGUACUCGAUAAAUCAUCUCGAUAUCACUCAUCAUAUUACUUCAGCAUUAUUUCGUAUAUGUUGACAUGUGUGCAGCAUGGUUUGGCUGGCAACAACAAGCCCACCAAGUGUUUGACAAAAUGUCUUAGUGAAUAAAUUGAAAUUUUUUUGCUCGCUUCGCACUCUGUUUCAAGUUAAAAACUUGUACUUUAACACGACAACCACUCAAAAUCCGCCAUUAAUUGUGAUUGAUUAUAAAUUACGAAAACAAUAUAUUGAGCACUUGUUUAAAUGUAAUUUGUUUAUUGGAAUGACCCGAACACGUAAGAAACCAAGUGUUUUGGGUGAAAGAAACUGAAGUAAUAUCAUAUAUAAUUCCAACUUAUAUUGUGCUCAAAAUUGGUAAGAUGCCCCUAUCAACUCCGAAUAGGCUUUUUCCCAUACGUAGAUUCCAAAUGUUUCAAAUCAAAAGGAACAAGCAAAAUAGCAGAAAGCAUAAGUAGCUCUACACAUGCUUCUAAAAAAAAAGAUUUUUUUUUCUUAUUGAAGGCAAGUGAACAAUACCAAUGAUACUUUCAUAUUGACAAUUUUACCCUCAACUUUUUUUUUUGCUAAAAGUAUUUUUAUCACUAUAGUCUACCAAACACUUACCUGCUUUUAUUCACAUAAUUCUCGUGACACAGGAGAAGCAGUUUUUGAAAGAAAAAAAAAACACAGCAAUCCCAAACUAACCCUAGUUUACAUACAAUCUCUACUUUGUUAAAUGUCUCAAGUUCGAUUCUUAUGCUUUUCAUACAAGUGUAUUGGGGAGGGGAAUCAAAUUUAGAAUCUCAAGUUCAAAAAUAAAUACACUUAACAACUUAAGUUACAUGCUCCUUAACGAGUUAUAUUGCAUUAAGAAUGACUCCGAAUAUGUAAAAUAGCAAUUAUUUUUCUUCAAAAGAAAUUGAAGUGAUGUCAUAUAAAACUCCACUUCAUGUUGUGAAAAGAAUUUGAAAGAUAUGCCCCAUUCAAAUCCGAAUAGACUUUUUAACAAAGAUUCCAAAUGAGGAAAACGUUGAUGGUGAGCUGUCAAACUAAGAUGCUUUACUACUCAGUGUGCCAAGACAAUCCACUUUUGGCGGAUAUGCUCACAUCGAAACUCUCAAGAUGAAAUGGUGGAAAGAAAUUAGUGGGAAGAUUAUGGGCAUAAAUUGACACUUACAGCAUCUUAAAAUGUCAAAUUAUAAAAGUUAUAUUAUAAUUGAUAGCUGAUGUGUCAAUCUGAAAUCUUACGUCAAAUUUUAUAUUUCUCUAAUCAAAUUGUCAAAUAUUAUUAUUUUUAGUACUGUAGAGCUUUAAAUGGUUGUAUUUAUUAAAAAAAUGCUAAUCAUAAAGGUUUCAAAUCUGAUCAGCAGAUACACUUUGGUUGGAAGGUUUUAUUAUAUCAAAUAUACUAAGUGGCGUCUCCACCUAGGAUUUGACAUCUCUUUUGGAGAUGCUGUAAUUGUAAACUUGGAUGGAUCAAUGUUAAAAUGCAAUAUGCAGGAUUGAUAUGUGAUUCAAUCCUGGCUCUUCACAACAUAAAUCAAAACACAACAAUCUGAGAAAAUAAACGAAGACAAUAUUUGUACAAAAUCUCGCACGAGGAAAAAAAAACCCUCCGCACAGGAGAGAAAAACCUAAAGGCACACAUCCAAUUUCACUAAAAAACUUAAGGAAUUAUCCAAGACUCAAUUGAUACUUUCUUACACCACAAAAGAAACUUGAUCAAAUACUCUUGUCUUGUAGAACACGCCAUCUUCACCUUCUCUUGGAGAACACCGAUUCACACAGGUUGAUGAUCUUCCUCAUAGGCAAAGCUUACACUAAGUUCCAUGAUGAAUGAAUGAUGUGUUAUGCUCUCAUACUAUCACCUAGAUAAAUCUAAGAACCUAACAGUCUUUUGUCUCUCCACCUUGACCUUAUAAAACAAUCUCACGAUUUUGAUUAGAGUGCAAAGGGUGUAGUGUAAAACUCCCAUCACAACCCUUUAUAUACUAGGUUAACUCUUUUACCUAAUAAACAAGGAGAUUGACCUUAUUUAAACCUCUUCCUUAUUUAAGACUCUGCAGAUUUGUAUAGACUUCUAGAAUCCCACACCAAAUCAAUCUUUAAUAGGAAAAACAAAUCCUAUAUGAAUGCAAAUGAUUCUUACUAGAAAAGAGCUUUGCCAUGUAACAUUAGUCAAUCAUGCUCCUCACUUAACGCAAGCUCCAAUCUUUGCAUGUUACAAUUAAUCCUAAGACUAGGAAUAACCAACUUACAAACUCUUUACAUUUGCUAGGAAAUAGCCAACUUAAUUACACUUUUAGAUGCACUUAUAGCACCAAAUGACCUUGCUCGGCCUAUCCACACCUCUCGUAUCUUAUCCAGUUGUUUUUAUCAUAUUUAGUGCCAUCAAAUUGAGCUUAGUCUGGUAAUGUUUAAUUUUUUAUUUGUGAGAAGUUUCGAGUUCGAUUUUUAUUUUAUUUCAUUACCCAAGCGAUGUUGGAGUAGGAGAGUCAAAUUUAAAACCUCAAAGAUAAACGUAAAUGCUCUUUUACUAUUUGAGCUAAAGUUCUUGGUCAAGUUCAAUUCUUAUGGGCAACAGUUGUUGAAUAAAUAAAAAAAGCCGAUAUGGCUAUUGGGCUUACGGGCCGAAGCCAGUGGGCCUAGACAUGAUAGUGCACUCCUCUAGACCAAGCCAAACUCGGAAUAUUGCCCUCUUUCAAACGGGCUUUAGAAUUUUGUUUGGGUCAGAUGUAGUACAGUGGCUUUUUUAACUGGGUCGGGUCAGUAUCUUAUCCCAAUUUUGCUGGACUGAUCUGAUCCCUAUUUUACAAUUUUACCCUUUUCUGUUUUUCUUUUUAGGUUUACAAUUUUGCCCUUUUGGUUUCGGUUCAUAUUCAGUGUUUAAAAUAUUCAUGAAAUUGUCGAUAUUUCCUUCGAAUAUCCAAAAAAUGAAGGAUCGAAAUGGAAAAGGGGAUGAAAUGCAAACUUUAUCCUAUAUCGGUGAGAUAUAGGAAAAUCAAUUAAUAUUGACGGUAUUCUUCAUUCAGUACAUAAAUUUUGUUGAAACCCACUGCAUAUUUCGAACUUUUGAAUUUUACUGGGGAAAUUUUUCUCUAAUUUUGUCUAAGUCUGAAUUAGUUGAAUACACCCCUCAUUGCAAAUUUCCAUAAUGUCCAUUGAGGACAACCGAAAUUGAUAUCGAUAAUUUAUCGAUCUUCCAUAAAGUUGCAUAUCGAUAACUCCACCUAUAUCAAUUUUGUAAACACUAUUUGUAUUUCCACCACCAUAAAUAUUUUAAACACUGUCCAUAUUAGAAACAUGUACUUCCUUUUCUUUUUCCAGUUAUUUUUUGCAACAGUUAGUCGCUUGUAUUUGGUCUCAACCACCUCAAACUAACCUCACUCGAAUAAAGUAUGAUACCUUAUGCAGGGGUCCGGACAUAAGAAUCCUUCGACAAGGGCUGGCUUAGUCAAAUAGUGGUGGUGCUCUAGAUCUUUGCCCUUUAUGGUCGGUUGGCUAGGUCAAGAAUCAAAAUUCAUUAUCCGAUUGGGCAAAUUGUGGAAAACUACUUGCUAUACAAUUGUGACCUCGGGAGGCCAAGGGUCCCCAGCUUUUUAGAAAAUAUGCCAUCUAAUAUACAGAAAACCUGCACAUAUCCCACAAAAUAUAAAAGAUUGGGUGGCUCUAAUUAGCACUAGUGUUGCUCUCAACCUGUUAGAAUUUAUCUUCCAAUGAAUGCCUCAUCCUACUAUUUGUUAGUGAUGCUAUUAUUAUACCAUCAAGCUUUAGUGUCCACAUAAAAAUAAAACACAUGGUUUAAGCUAUAUCAAAGGCACUUAUGUAAAGAGUAAAAGCACCUGUUUAGCUGCUUGUUAAACAACAAACUGUUUACUGAAAAGUGUUUUCUACAAAAAACGCUAGUGAGUAAAAACAUUCUAUGGAGUAGUACUUCUAAACAAGCCCAUAUAAAUUUUCAUGUUUUUCUUGGUACAACAUAUAUAUAUUAGAUAUUUUUGGGAAGGAAAAAUCAAACACAUAACUUUUAAUGCAAAUAUGAAUGCUCUUAAGUCUGAACCAACUGAGUUAUACAUUCUAGCAAAUCAUUUUCAUGUUUGAUGUAUAAGAUAUGCGUAUAUACUUUGGUGUAACAUAUGAAUAAUAUCUUAUGAAAACAUAAUAUAUAGGAUUUAUUUGCAUAUUCUCUCUUUUAUAUAUCAUUCCUUCUCAUCUUUAUAAUGAAUAGUGCAGCAAUUCUCGUCCAUAUACGUUUCACUCUGAACACCAACACCUUGUUUUGUUUUUGGUGGUGGGGGACUUAAGGUUUUGAUGAAAAAACAGAAAGAUUCGACUAAAGGGGGCCGAAGAGAUCAUAUCAUUUGAUGAAAAGAAAAAACAGAAAGAUUCAUCUAAAGGCAGCCGAAAAGAUCAUAUCAUUCAAUCUUUACUUCCGAAGUGAACAAAAACUUUUAGUAAUGAUGCAUGCAACUUAUGAAUAGUAAUCAAUAUUAAAACAACGCCAACUAUUAUCUUCACGUCCGAUUGCCUGCGAUAAAGUUUCCCUGAAGCUCAAGGUUGAGAGUCGAACUACGUACACAGAAUGGCCUCAUAAAGUGAUCACUGAUCACAGAGACAUUGGGCAUAUAUUUUUAAGGUUCUCCUUUGAACCAAAUUAAGAAAGCGUUGAUAAGAGUUCUUGGGAGUCAACGGCCUCUUAUCCUCGACUAGCCUUUAAUCUUUCGAGUUCUUAAUAGCCCGAGACCACUUGAUACUACGAUCUAAUGGUAUUUCUUUUCCCUUGAAAGUGAGAGGUCUUAAAUUCGAUUCUCGCCAAAGACGAAUUUGAACCACAUUAUUGCUAGUCCAUUGUGAGGCUAAACCCACCCACUUCCUCUUAAUGUAGAUAAUAUCGUUUGUUAAAUAGCCCAAGACUUACAGAUCACUAUGGCCAGACUUUCAUUUAUGUUCGUUCAAAAGGUCCCACAAUCAAGCAGGCGUACACGAAUACACUCGACAAUAAAAAUAUGACAAUAAUUUAGAAUAUGAGAGAAUUUCAAACCAGAAAUGCAUGUGCGGAAACUCAACAUCUUAUUCACUAAAAUAUUGGAUCACAUGCAGAAAUCAUUUCUCAUUAAACCUUGGUCAACUUAGGAUUAUUUUGGUUGAGCAAAUUACACCAUGAGUUGAGACGGAUAUCAAUUUAUUAUAUGCUGGAUACCCUCUAGAUUUGUUUAUUUGUUAGAUAUUUGGUCUUUGGUCCCCAUGCCAUGCAUGCUUAAAGCUUUUGCCCUGUUCACUACAAAAAGAAUAAAGAGAUAAAAAGCUUAAGACAACCACACAGGAACACGAUAGAUUACAAACCAAAGUGAGUGGGAGACUCUUUACCAUACUUCAAUAAAUAUGUAUAUCUACAUCCCUCACAUGCAUAAUAGAAAAAAAAAUCUGUACUGUCUACGUAAACACUUUAAUUUCUAACCAAAAGAUGGAGAUAUGCAUGUUGCUUUUUCUAAAGCAUUAUGUACCAAAUCAAAUUGUUGGAACCAAUUAAUUUGUUGUCAGAUUAACUAAUUAAAGAGACAUGGUCGAUAGCUACCAUGCAUUUUGAUUAAGAAUUAUAUCUUUGCGUUUUAUUUGUUUCCAUAUUUUAAACGACGAAUUAUAGUUACGGAAUCAACAAAGUGUUUAUAAUAUGUCAAAAUAUAUUGGUACAUGACGUUCCCCUUCAAAUAAAAUAUAACAAGUUGCCAGAACCCUAAUCCAGUCUUACCAUGAGUUUGAACUGAAAAGACGAAUGUCGUGCACUCAUAAUUUCUAAUUACAACUUGAAAAAGCUUAUCAUUGCCAUAGAAACAAAGAUUUCAUAAAACAAAAAUCUACUUUACACAUCAGGCUGAGUGAAAAGUAAGAUUUAGGUCCUACAAAUAACCAAACAUUAAUUAAGCUAUUGGCCUACUUACGCAAAACCAAAGUAAAUAAAGCUAAGCUUCAUAUUACAACCCCUUUUAUUUCCCCCUACUUUCACCCUUUGAACUAUAAGUACAUCAAAAUUAAUCCUGCCUUCCUCCCCCAAGUACACACCGUACAUACUAAGUAUAUAUAAGCUACUUCUACAUACACCACUCGUAAUUAUAAUCUUCACAUAACGUAGCACCCACUUCCAUAUUCUUUGUUAACGGACGUAUCUUCAUCACCAUCAUCAUCGAUAGAAUAGGACGGCAGAGGAAACGAGAACCUGCCUGGAUGAGAAUACGUAGCAGUAUGCAUGGGAUCAGGAGCGAAGUAUGAGCUACUUGUACUGGUAGGGUACGCCGUAUUGUAACUUAGCCCGUACGUUGGAGGUGGAUAGUACAUUGAUGUUGGGUACGGGCCGGGGUACGUAUGCUGAACUGGUGGGCCAAGAUUCAUGGAGGCCAUCGGCUGAGUCAUUUCUGGCCCACCGGCCAUGUACGGCUCAAUACUGCCCACAGGAGGCGGAGCAUUCUCGCCGAGGUUGGCACCACCGCCGGUGGGGGAAUUACCAUUUUGCGCUUUCUUCUUCUUCUUCUUCUUCUUUUUGGCCCCAGUACUUGCACUAUUUCCACCACCAGCACCAACAGCAGGACUAGUACCACUUUCUCCACCAGCUUCAUUACUCUCGCCACCCUCUGCGUCGGACUCACCGCCGUCGUCAGCAUCAUCACCGCCGUCGGUUUUAUCCGGUUGAUCAUGAUCACCAUCUUGUUCAUGGUUAUGAUCUUCAGGCUGCUUCUCAUUGUUAUUACUAUUAUUCUUUGAUUUCGACUUUUUCGCUUUCUUAACUUCUGGCCAAAGCUCAGCUUGCUUCCCUGACUUCAACAGCUUCUUCAGUAGGGUCUCCGCCUCCACGUUGCCCGUCACAGUCACCUUGUGCUGCUGCGAAUCAAUCUCCGUCGUGUAAACCCCUGAUCACGUCAAUUAAUCAAAACACGAACGCACACGAGUGAACACAUGUGUUGCAACUAGAUAAAAUAUCAGGACAUGGUUAAUAACCAUUUCGUUUUUAGUUUUUGUGACAGAAACAGAAAAAACGCAUGGCAAGAAGGACGAGUGAGAAAUGAAGGAGAAUGUAUAAACGUACCUUCAAUGUUUUGAAGGACUUUCUUGACCUUCUUCUGGCAUCCUCCACAGUGGAUUGAGACUUUCAAAACCCAUGUCUGGAGAACGGAGGAGAUGAUCAACUUAUAAUUUGUGAAGAAAAAAACUUGAAAAUAAUGAGAAAAAGGACAAAAAUAUUGUACUAAUUACCUGGUAUUUUAAGGUUCCAGGAGCUUCUUCAGCUGGUUUGGUUGCCAUUGAUGAGCGAGAGAGAGAGAGAGACUGAUGAAGUGGGAAUAAGGAAAGUGGGGAGCUUUGAGUGAAUGUGUGAUGAGGUUUAAAGAGUGGGAAGAAAGCAUCUGGUUUGGUCAUGGUGUGGAUGCCACGUCAGCUUCCACACCCCAAUACACCACUGCAGAUCUAACACGUCAUCAAACUCACGUGACCCUCCAUGAAGACCCCACUACACCUCAACCAACUGAGUUCAACUUCACAAACUCACAAGCUCACUGAUUAAAUUUCAUAUUUUUAUCUGAAGGUUAUGAAGGUCACGCAGAAGGCUUAAUUGCAAAACAAUCACGCACUAAUAUGCGUUUUUUAACGAUAUGAUUAUAAAUCGGGAAAUGAGAAUAUCAUUGUAUAGGAAUGUUAACUUCAACAGUACGGCUCAGUGACAUCCACUGACCCACAACAUACAGUUCCAGAUAUCAAUCUAAUCUCUGCCCGUGAGGAGAGAUGAGAACCUUUUGAUGGAUGAUCAGCUUUGUACUGCAUCUUUUGCUAUUAUAAAUAGAAUCGGACGGUCUUUAUUCUUUUUCAAGGAUUUAAUCAUCGAUUUUUACGAGUACAGAUCUUCUUCGGAUCUAAAAAAAUAGAGCUUAAUGAUCAAAUGAUCCGGGCCAAGGGACCAUUCUUUGUAGCUAUUGGAUCAAAUUUCAACAGUCCGAAUCAUUUGAUAUUUAGGCUCCAUUUUUUUAGAUCCAGAGACGUUCUGUACUCGACUUUUAUAGCCACUAAUAUAAUUGACUCAGAUUGGCCCUAAGCUAACCUACCCUCAAAGGAUGCUGCUCAGAACUUCAUAGGCCUAGAAGUUCCUUGCAAGUAAUCCAGGAAGAAGAGCUAUGAAUGAAGAUUCUUGUAACAAAUGGACAAGAAGAUUCUAGUAAGCAAAGUUACGAAUGUUCGUCACUGUUUUUGGGCUAAUCUACACUGAGCUAUACGAUACGAAGGAACAUCCAUCUCGUAACCAGCUGUACACAUUCAUGUCAUAUAAUUAUUUUGAUCCAGCAAGUGUUAGAAUCGACUGGACUUAAAGCUGCCCUCUACAGUUUUUUGAUGCGGAAAAAGCUGCGUUGUUCACAGUGAACAUGUCCUCCUGCAAUAUUGCAUGAACAACACUUGUACAAAGUAUGGUGGUGUGUAAAGUAAAAGUAAUUGAGUUAGAAAAGACUAUGGCAAUUGGCAACUUCCUUUGCUGGGCCAUUGCCAUUGUGCUUUCAAUGAACUUUUUGAUGGGGGGUUUUGGAUUUAUCUUCAGGAAAACAACUUGUCUGUAACUGGUUCACUAUUAUUGUACUUCGUGACAUUCCGUUUCAGUAAUACAAUAUCAUCUAAAAGAUACUUACCCAAAAAGACAUUAUAUUUUUGAAUCGGGGUGCCAGAUAACAAUGAAUCCGUUCGAUAAAAGUCCUUGUAUUCUCAUGCAAGCAAUCAAUUUAAAGAUGCAGAAAAAUUAAAAUUAAAAAAAAAAAAACUCCAGACAAAGAAAAUGAUUUUCACGAGUAGAAUUUUCAAAUGCGUAGUACAUAUUACACAAUUACAGUAAAUAAAAUGCCUUCCUUUCGUCUAAUUCUAAAGCAGGCCAAGCAGCUUUUAAUAUGGAAAAGACUACAAACAGCUAGUAGUUAACAAUUAUUGUGAUUGCCAGCUGUAUACGUUGUCUCUGUAAAUCAAAAGGCAAAAGCGAUACAUACGGAGCAUGAUUUUGAAGAAUCGUAAUUAAGUCACGUCAACAUUUUGUGUUAAUAGAGAUAAAAGGAAAAUGAAAGAAAAGGAGAGGAGAAGUGAGAAGAUUUGAAGAUGGGAGAAUCCUGCUCAUAUACACACACAAAAGAUAACAAUAAAAACAUUCUAAAAAAAGAUCAAAUGGUUAUCACCAUACAGCGGAAGCACUUUUGAUGAGAGAUAUUUUAGUAGAGAUAUCAUAUAUAAUCCGGCUAUGCACAAAAGUUCAUCCUUUAUUAAAGAAUGUAAUAAUGUCAUUAGUUGUGUGUUUAUAACAUCAUUUUAAUCGCCAACAAAAAGUAGGAACAUAUUAUUAAUAAAUUUUCAAUAAUAUUGACACAAUAUCAAUUGAAAGAACUAACAUUCUACACAAGGGCGGAUGUAAUUGGGACCAAGGUGGUCUUAGAACCAACCGGAAGCCAAAAAACACGCAUGUGAAGGUCCUUCAGGAACCCUUCGAAUGUUUGCUAGACAUAUCUCAGUAAGUUGUGUCUAUAACACUCGACAAAAACUCUCAAUAGCACUCAUCAUAUUGUCUAUAUCUGUUGACAUGCAACAUGGUUCAGCUAACAACAAGAAACCUUCCAAGUGUUUGACGAAAUUUCUUGAAUAAACAUUUUUUUUUUGCGCCACUUCACACUCUGUUUCUAUCUAAAAAUCUUAAAUGUUUAACACUGAACACGAUAUCGACACAAAAAAAUCCAUCUCAUCAUAGCAGACAAUACGUAAAGGGGUUUCACUUAUCUGCACUUUAUGUGAACCAAUGGAUUAGCCAGGUCAUGAGCACUAGAGUGAUUUGUGACACAACUUGGCACUCCAAAUCAUUCUUGCUUUAUCAAAUAAUACUCAUCCAAUCUCAAAAAAGAAAUCAAUUAACUUAAUCACUACAACAUCCUAAUUAAUGCAGUCCAUAUUAUCACAUAAAAUGACUCGACUUCCAUUUCGACAUGACACCCUCGACAUUUCAAUCGUCACCCUCUCUUCCUAACUAUCUCCUGACGUCCUCCUAUCUCUAUGUCGUGUCAGGAGAGAGAUAGGUAUAGAGGGUCUGAAACUGGGGAUGGAAACGUACUGAGUUAUUAAAAAGAAAUAUAACCUACAAAAACUCAAAAAAUUGAACCUCGAGUGCAAUAGUCUUAGGUAAAUGCAUUGAAUCAUUCUUCAUUGUUGCUACAAAAUAAAAGGUGAAGCUUCUUGUUCUAUGAAUGACAGAUCAAGUUCUCAACAAGUACAAUUCCAAGGUUGCUAUAAACUAUGAGUUUUAUAAAACUUUCUUGAAUAUAAGAACACCUACGACAAUGGAGACAAAAACCGACGACGCACCUUGUCUCGAAAGCCCAAAUUCGGUCCAUGUCAAGGGCUUUGUGACUUCAAGUAAGACGUUGCGGAACUGUGCUCUUAAAUCUUCUAGUGAUCCAGUGUUAUCAACCACUAUGUCUGCCCUGGUCCGUUUUAUAUCGAGUGACAUCUGAGCAUUUAUCCUGUUUCCAGCAUCCUCCUCACUUGUUCUGUCCCUCGACAUGAGUCUCCGGAGCUGCGUUUCAGGAUCAACCCAUACAACAACAAUAGGCUUUGUCCAUUUGUCCAUCUUGGCCUCGAACAACAGAGGAGCAUCAAGAACAAUAACCUUACACCCCUUCAUCCAUAGCUUCAAAAUUUCCCAAAAGAUUCCAGACGAUAUAUAAGGAGCUAGCAGUCUACAAGAAGAUAAAAACUAGAGAUUAUAGCAGAUAUGAUAGGUAACUUGUGCGGUAAACUACACUAAACUAAACCUCUCAUCAAGUGGGACGAAAACAAUUUGAAUUCGACAAAAUGUAACUGGACAAAACUAGAGAUUAUACCCGAUUCCUUUUAGUAAAAGGAAUCGGCAUUAUUUCAGCAGUUUUCAAGAAAUCACAUGUGAAUUUUGACCUUGAUGCGUCAAUACUCGAGGGAGUACUAUGGAGCCUAUAUGGUAUAAAUGCACAACCAUAAGGGAAGUUACUUUCCUUGGCCUCUCUAGGUUUUACAUACAAUGCAACACUAUCUUUCCAACAAGAAGCCAGGAAAUCCAACGGUGAAUAAAUUAAGAAACGAGUUUGAUUUACUCAACUGCACUAGGGAUAAUGUAGAAUCAUAUAGCAAAAAGUUUAACAGAGCGGUACUCAAUAAAAUCGCAAACGAACACUAGAGCUACUUGCAAAGAGGUAGUACCUACCGGUUAAGAAGUUGGCGCUUUUCGGGGUUAGAGAACACAAUUUGUCCCAGUUUAGGCCUAUCAACUUCUCCAUCAGGUUGCAAAAUGUCCUCUCCAAAUGCCGAAACAACCUUUUUCCAGCCACCAGUGCCCUUCUUCAACACAUCCUGAAACCAAAAAAUUACUCACUCGGCGAAACAGCCGAAAACAACCCAUUGACAUCAAAUUCUUCCAUGACAUUGUCAAAAGCAUAAAGUUCAGGGUCUGAUCAUCACUCACUCGAGCAACAAGAUCGGCAUCAACGACUGGAAUGCCAUGUUCCUUGAAGAGAUUCGAGACGGUACUCUUCCCGGAAGCAAUUCCACCGGUCAACCCCACUAUCCUCAUUCUUUCUGCUCUUUCUGUUAGCAAUUGAUCCUACUAUACUACAACAUUUUAAGCAAAAUUAAUUACAAAAUUAAAGUAAAUUAGCAAACUUUAAGCAUAAUACUCGAUAUUUUAAUGGAUUGGAAUUUUGGGUUCCUAGAAAUGAAGAGCCUUUGCUCUUCCCUGUAAUUAUUUCAUCGUUUCGAUUGCUUUUUUCUUAGUUCUCACUGUAAAAGACAAGAACUUUUCUACCUUGAAAAAGCGCUUGAAACAGGCGGUGGUAUGAGACUUUCGGACUUCGAUCCGCCCAACUGGGUGGCGGGUGGCCUGCCCUUUGAAGAUCGGACGACAAGGAAGAGAAACAAGUCGGCGGCGAACCGGACGGUGGCCGGAUGGCGCCGGAAACUUGAAGAGCAGAGGCGCGGUGCUGUUCGCGCAAGGAGAUAUUGAGGGGGCGAGUACAGGUCUGACACGCGGUACCUGCCAAUUGCUGCUGCUAUGCAUGUAGCGGAAAGCCUAAGAAAAAGAGCAGAAACACAUUUUAUUACUCUGUUGUUUGAUUCUCUUAACAAAGAAGCGCAUCUGGUGUAGUGGUAUCAUAGUACCCUCCCACGGUACUGACCAGGGUUCGAUUCCCUGGAUGCGCACUUUUUUAUUUUUUAUUUAUUUUUGUAUUUGUUUUUAUGUGACCAUUCAUUUGAAAUUUGAUACUUCAAAACCAAUACAUUCUUAGAAAAGCACUUGAAAGCUUUUUAAGCACAUAAGGAACGGUUUUGCUCAUUAGCGCUAUAUGCUAGUCGAAAUUGAUACUUGAAACUCAAUAAAUUCUUAGAAAAGCACUUAAAAGCAUCACAUAUUUGGAAGACUGUAUUGUUUAAUUUUUCAGCCAAAUAAUAUGAGUAUCGCAAAACUAUAUUAUAUGUUUCUCAACCUGAUCAAAUAGCGGGGUUACUUUAGAAGCAAGUAAAAGCUUAAGGCGAGCUCAUGUCACCAUAAAACGACGUAAUAAUUUUAGCUAUUUUAGACACACACGGCCUUGGAAGUUCUUCCGUUCCAUCAAGUACAAAAUUUCGACAUAUUUCUAAUGCGUCUUCAGUAAAAGUGUGCUUAUGAUAUGAGCGUUUUAGAAAGCUCAGGAAAAGGAAAGGGUUUUAGCCUUAAACCCUAAGGACUGUAGUCUUGAGAAUUUACCGAAUUGCCGUUGUCUUCCCUCUCCGUUCUCAGAUGAGAUGACGACGGGGGUUUGAAUACAUGACUUUAUAAGGAGGAGCGAAUGGGAAUUAGAUGUGAUCUUGGGAGCUUCUUUGAUCGACAUGUAUGGAAAAUGUGGUAGGAUUGAAGAGGAAUUGGCGGUUUUCAAUACCAUGAAAGAGUAGAACACUUUUACUUGGAAUGCACUCAUUAAACGGCUAGCUCUUGCCAAAUAUGGUAAGGAGACAAUCCGGUGGUUUGAGAGGAUGGAACAAGAAGGUAUCAGAAUAGACGAAGUGACUUUGGUUGCAGUUCUAAGUGCUUGCAGUCACACGGGGUUGGCAGACAUCGGUAGGCAGAUUUUUCGUUCCUUGAGUGAUGGAAAGUAUGGAUUGUUUCCCGGGGUCAAGCACUAUACUUGUAUGAUUGACCUCUUAGCACGUUCGGGGUGUCUUGAAGAUGCUUUGAAAUGCUUGAAAGAAAUGCCUUUUGUUGAGCCAACUAUAACUAUUUGGGGGUCGUUGUUGGGCGGUGCUAAAAGUCAAGGGAAUUUGGAAUUGAGCGAGUUUGCAGCUUGGAAGCUUGUUGAACUGGAUCCAGGGAAUAGUGGUUACUAUGUUUUGCUGUCGAGAAAGUGCGGGGGAUGAUGAAACAGAGGGAUCUGAAGAAAGACUUGGGGUGUAGUUCCGUGGAAUUCGAACCCUCGGACCAAGUUAAUCAGCUUUUAGCACAAUAAGUCGCAAUGUAUUUACAGUUCUUUCAAUAUAUAUAGGUUGUCUUAUUGAAUUGGGUUGUCUCCAAUUUACUGACUGCAUCAAGUUUAUUGGAUGCCGAAAGAUAGGCAUUGCUCUGAUUGCAGCCCGGUUAUAUUUUCGAAUCUCAGUUGGAGUCAGUUGAGAUCAAAUUACUGGUUUGGUGGAACACAAACUUAAAACACCAAAAACAGAUUGUAAAAGCAUAUGCAAAAGGCAUCAGCAGCAGUAGCGGAGUCUUGUCCUUCAAUUAUUUCGGGGAAACAGAAAAUCAGACGAACGUUUGAUAACUAACAUACAUGUUAUUAUUGUAGAUAUAUGACUCUGUUGAGUAAGCUGCAGCAGCAAGCUUUAGUACUUGUUUCACUUUUGCUGGGCAACGACUUUGUUCCAAGCUGGCCUUGCUGUGAUGUCCACCACCCAUGCGAGAACAUGGGGGCGGGAUUCGAACAGCUUCUUCGAUUGUGUUCCCAUCAAGUAAUGUAUGGUGGGGAGGUGGUGAAGAUCAGCCAAAGUGAAGCUUUCACCUGCCAAGUAUUUCGACUGAGCCAGACGAGUCUCAUAUACAUCAAGAACCACAGCCAACUUGGCUUCAUUUUCCUCCACAACUGCCGCGUCUGUGGUCAUUUUAAACAUAGGCUUUAUAGCUAGCUCAUAGGUCAGUUUUGUGGCCGCCGGGUCGAACUUUUGGGCCUCCACCUCCGACCACAAUGAUAUAAUUGCCAUCUUCUUUGAGUCUCGGAUCACUAGAGGGGUUCCCUUGUCAGCAUACUCGUGGGCAAUGUAUUGUGUAAUCGCCCUUGAUUCUGCAUGUCAAAAGGUGCAUAGCUGAUCUUAUAUGCACAAGCUCAUAAUUCAUAUAUGUUGUGUGUGAAUUUGAUGUCACGACUACAACAGGUAUUCCAAGCCAAUCAAGAACGGACAUGUAUUUUAACUCUUUUUCAUAUGAAUGUCCUUGAUGGGUUUGUGAUACCCCGCAUUCCAGAUACAGGUAAGUUUUUCUCAAUGCGAAUGAAUCAAAAACAAAUUUAUCUUAUAUAAACAUAUUCAUAUUUCAUAUAUGCUAUGUGUGAAUUUGAUGUGAAUGAACUGAUAUAUGUCCUACUGUGACAGUGAUUGAUUGAUUUUGGAUACCGUUACAAUGACAUCUCAUUCCAGUUACAGAUAAGUUUAUGACGCGUGAGCGAGCUAAACACAAACUUACCAAAGAGCUUAAGAUCUCCGUCUUCGAAAGCUGGAACUUGACCAAAUGGCUGCAUCAAUUGAAGCAAAGAAAUGUGAGAUUUACUGACCAUAAAAAAAUACUUGAUAGUUUUGUUCUUCAUGUUCUCAUUGUAAUCAUAUACUUACAUUGAGGGAUAUGAAGGGCUCCUUUUUGUGUUCACCAGCUCUCAUGUCGAUUGGAACAAGCUCGAAUUCGAUGUCUUUCUCGUAGAGAGUAGCAAAAACUCGCAUUGCAGCGGUCGAAAUAACGUUUCCGUGGACCUUGAUGGCAGCCAUGACUCUGAGGAAUUGAAGUAAGAAAUUUGAGCAACUGAGAAAGAGGUGUUGUGAUUUGGACCCUAAUAUGGCCUAGUAUUUAUAAGACAAUGACCAUUGCGGAUAAGGAUUAAGUGCUUCUGAAAAAAGUAGCAUUUAGCUAAAGCUAAUACGUGGUUUGGGUGGAAGCUUUCAAUUAUUUUUUUUGGAUUCGCUCAAGGGGAUUUCGUAUGCACCCAUGUCACUCGGAAAGGGAUCUUCUCAAGAUUUUUUUUCUUUCUAAUCCAUCAAAUUAAAGGAUCUGUACGCUAAAAUUUAAUCUAACGAUUACAAAUAGAUGUUCACUUUAAAAAUUAUAUUAGUUUUAAUCAUUAGAUCAAAUUUUAACUGUACGAAUCCGAUGAUUUGGUAGAUUAAGAGGAAGGAACCUGUCACUCACUACCCUUCAGUCUUCUUAAAAUGCAAAAGAUAGUCCAAAUACGACUUUCCAAUAAAGCAACUGCAAGUCAAAAUAGGACUUUUAUAAAAGCAAGGUUGUAGCCGUGCUUCCAAGAACUUGAGGUCUAGAUUCAGAUAAUUUAAUUUAAUUUAUUGGAAAAAAACAUAUUUUUAUAUUUACGAUUGGGGUGGGCAGUGGAGCUGGCCAUGCUCCUUCACCAUACCAAAUAAAUUAUUUUCUCUUUGUCAGAUAUUGCACAUGUAAUUGUUUAGGGUAUGGAAUAAACUACGAGAUACGGUUUUAGUGCAUGCUGUUUAUUUAUGUUUUCUAAUUAAAAAUAUAUAAUGUGUGAAACUCACUUUUUAAGAAAUGCAUAUGUAGCCAGAGAUAUUUUAUAUUUUUUUAAUGUGUUCAGAAUAUAGAACGGCACGCUAUAUACUAUUAUGGAAGUGGAUAGAAUUUUUUUUUUGAAUGUUCCUCCAUUAGAUUAGUAUAAUAGCAAAUGAUAUAUGUGCCCGUAGUCCAAACAUUAAAAAUCUCUAAGGGUCUGUUUGGUAUUCAAUUUGAAUCCAACAUUUUAAACUCAAAAACAAUUUUCAAGUUUUAGGCCUUAAAAACAUGUUUGGUAGGAUUAUUUUAAAAAACUAAACUCAAGACUAACUAAAAAAUAUAGUUUAUUUUCUAAAAACAUAAAAAGUGAUAUUUUAGAGUUUGUAAACUUAAACUCACUCAUUUUUUUUUCUCUCACUCUUCCCCUCUCACUCCAAAUCUAUGUCUCUCUUUCUUUUCUUCUUUCUCUCCCCUCUUUUUUUUGUUUACUUUUUUCGUAUCUCCUCCAAUCUACUCUCUUCAUUCUCUCGGUUCUUUCUCUCACUCCUCUUCCUCUCUAUCUCGUCCGAUCCUCUCUUCUUUCUCUUUCCUUUAAUCAUCCCUUACUUUCUUUUCUCCUCUCUCCUCUUUCUCCCUCUCCUGCGACCCUAUCUUUUUAGAUCUCUUUGUCUAGUUUAAGUCAUAAGAUUUAAAUUUUUUAAAUCGCAAACCAAUCAAGUUUUUUAGUCUUAAAGAAAAUUGUAAUGUUCUUAAGAAAUGUUUUGAGGAAUGAUAAAAAAUUUCAAAUAGGAUACCAAACAUGCCCUAAUUUACGUGUGCUUCCAAGAACUGGCCAUCUAGAUUAAAAUAAUAUAAUCUAAUUACACAAUUUAAUUCACGAUUAGGGUGGAUAGUGGAGCUGGUCACGCUCCUCCAUACACACAAAAAUUAUUGUUUAGGACAUGCCGAAUUCUUAAGGAGUAAACUACGAGAUACGUUUUUCGCGUACGUUGUUUAUAUGUUUUCUGAUAAGAAAAAAUAGUGUGUGAAAAUCACUUUGUUAGACUAUGGGCGCAUAUAAACGCAUUUCGGCUUGGUGGCCUCCUUUAAUGUAAUUAGAUUUUCUUUACCUGAAAGACAAAAAAUAUGGAAGCAACUUUAGUUACCUCGUUGGAAACUUACAUUUAUGGAUGCUUGAUCGAAGAUAAAUGAUUUCAAGGUGUGUGAGAAGGCCGCUCUUAAGCGUAGAUUCGUUACUUGGAGAUAAUCAGCGUAAUAGGUUAUGGUGGAUUACCCUACACUUGUAAUAAUCCGAUCGAUGAACAACAGCUUUGUUAUUCUUUUGGAUAAAAAUCUUAGAGAAUUUGAUGAGCUCAAGUGAUUUUUUAAGAGGUUGGGAAACACUUAUAGGGAGUUUGGAAGAGAAAGGAAUAGUUGAAUGAGGAUAUUUCCCCCCAAAGAAUAAUAGGUAUAUAUAGGAAAAUUAAUUUUGAUACAACAAUCUGGAACGUUACUGCAAUCUAUUUUGUGUCAAGUCUUCCGUUAGCUACAAACACUACAUAUCAAACACCAAGUCUUCGAUUUUUCUGUAAGAAAAUUCAAUUUGAUGUUAAGAAAAAAGCAAAUGUUAAACGCCUAGUGUUAUGACUUAGUUUAUACAGAAAAUAAAUUGACAAUUGAAAUCAUAACGGAUGUUUUAAACAAAGAUAACAUUAGAAGAUCAAAGUAACUGAAGAAAACAGCCUAACCAAUAGUGAUAUGCAUCCUUAAUGACAUUAAGAGAAAAGCUGUUACCCACAAUUAUAGGAGAGAUUUUUUCUUGUGCUCGUAACACAGGAUGGUACGUCACAUGUCAUUAUACAAUUUGAGGGAUAUUUGAAAAUGCAAAACUUUCUUUUACUUAUAAAAUAACAUGUGACAUACCACCCUAUGUUCCUAGCACACUGAAAAUCUCUUGAAUUAUAGAUGUAACUAGUCAAACAAUGGAAAGAAGUGCUUACUUGUACUCUAUAUUGCAUGGAUCACAUUUUUCAUUUAGUGGUUAUUCAAUAAAUAGACAAAUAUUGUUAUAUAAACUUUAGUAAUGUUAAUCAAACGGUUAUACGAUAAACUUUAGCAACGUUAAUCGAACGGUUAUACAAUUUUUGCUUUGAUUGAUUUUUGCAGUGUUAAUCUUUUAAAGGUCAUUUUGGUUCUGGUCUUUAAUCAACCUAAUUGUUAGAUUGAAACCUUGUUUGUUUAAAUAUUUUGAUCAAGGUCCUUAAUUAGUCUCAUUUAAGAGAUUGAACUCAUGCAUAUAUGCAUUUAAUGACACACUGCGACCCGAAAUGUCCACUAGGACUCCGAAUUGAGUUGUGCUGACCGACACUUAGAAGGUGACGAAGCCAUAAAGUGUGAUGAUGUGGAAAAAUGUGAAUAAAUUUAAACCUAAGAGUGUCUAAAUACCAGAGUGCGACAUGAACGGAAAUGAACCCAUUUCACACGGGACGUCAGAGUAUAAGCAAAGUACAAUAGAGUGGAUUGAAAAUCAUACAAUUGAAGGUAACCUCCAAUACCAAGACUUGCCACAAAUCCUCGUAGAUAAGAAAGCUGAGCUAAUAAAACCUGGAAGGUGAAAACCAACCAAGGGUAAGUGGUCCUGGAAAUAAAAUUUUAAUAAAAACCAUAUAAAACAUUAUAACCUCUCGUUACAACAUCCGUAUAGUUUCCAGAAAAAUCAUAAACAUACCACAACACAACAUCUCAUCAGCAAUAUCAAUAUUCGUGUGAUUAAUAACCCAUACUAGCACGCAAGUCGGAGUCACCUAUGGUGACCUGUACGACUGCACCAGUAUCUUAUCAAUCAAUGUUAAUUCAUAAGUCGAAGUCACCUAUAGUGACUUGUACAACUUACCCAUAUAUCAUAAUAUAUGCUAGCUCAUCACAUAUUUCAUCAUAUAUGCUAGCUCAUCACAUAUGCUAACUUAUCACAUAUUUCAUCACAUAUGCUAGUUCAUCACAUAUUUCAUAAAAUAUGCUAGCUCAUCACAUAUGCUAGAUCAUCACAUCUCUCAUCACAUAUGUUAGCUCAUAAGUCGGGAGUCACCUCUUGUGACCUGUACGAUUGAAUCUAUAGCUCAAUAAUUAUACAUGCACACGAGUCGGAACCACCUAAAGUGGUCUGUACGACAGGAUUAGGUGUAAAUAAAUACGCUCAAGUGCUACGAUCACGUGAAGACUGUGCGAAUAAUCGCAGGUCACUUACGAGUUGGAACCACCUAUAGUGGUCUGUACGACAUGAUUGUGCACCUACCUUGAAUCCAAGAUGAGCGUAAGGUGCGAGAGGUGAACAUCAAGAAAAGACUUGGGGUGUAGUUCCGUGGAAUUCGAACCCUCGGACCAAGUUAAUCAGCUUUUAGCACAAUAAGUCGCAUUGUAUUUACAGUUCUUUCAAUAUAUAUAGGUUGUCUUAUUUAAUUGGGUUGUCUCCAAUUUACUGACUGCAUCAAGUUUUUUGGAUGCCGAAAGAUAGGCAUUGCUCUGAUUGCAACCCGGUUAUAUUUUCGAAUCUGAGUUGGAGUCAGUUGAGAUCAAAUUUGGUGGAACACAAACUUCAAACACCAAAAACAGGUUGUAGAAAAUCAAACGAACGUUUGAUAACUAACAUACAUAUUAUUGUAGAUAUAUGACUCUGUUGAGUAAGCUGCAGCAGCAAGCUUUAGUACUUGUUUCACUUUUGCUGGGCAACGACCUUGUUCCAAGCUGGCCUUGCUGUGAUAUACGCCACCCAUGCGCGAACAUGGGGGCGGGAUUCGAACAGCUUCUUCGAUUGUGUUCCCAUCAAGUAAUGUAUGGUGGGAAGGUGGUGAAGAUCAGCCAAAGUGAAGCUUUCACCUGCCAAGUAUUUCGACUGAGCCAGACGAGUCUCAUAUACAUCAAGAACCACAGCCAACUUGGCUUCAUUUUCCUCCACAACUGCCGCGUCUGUGGUCAUUUUAAACAUAGGCUUUAUAGCUAGCUCAUAGGUCAGUUUUGUGGCCGGCGGGUCGAACUUUUGGGCCUCCACCUCCGACCACAAUGAUAUAAUUGCCAUCUUCUUCGAGUCUCGGAUCACCAGAGGGGUUCCCUUGUCAGCAUACUCGUGGGCAAUGUAUUGUGUAAUCGCCCUUGAUUCUGCAUAUCAGAAGGUGCAUAGCUGAUCUUAUAUGCACAAGUUCAUAAUUCAUAUAUGUUGUUUGUGAAUUUGAUGUCACGACUACAACAGCAAUGCCGUAUUCCAAGCCAAUCAAGAACGGACAUGUAUUUUAACUCGUUUUCAUAUGAAUGUCCUUGAUGGGUUUGUGAUACACCGCAUUUCAGAUAUAGGUAAGUUUUUCUCAAUGUGAAUGAAUCAAAAACAAAUUUAUCUUAUAUAAACAUAUUCAUAUUUCAUAUAUGCUAUGUGUGAAUUUGGUGUGAAUGAACUGAUAUAUGUCCUACUGUGACAGUGAUUGAUUGAUUUUGGAUACCGUUACAAUAAUAUCUCAUUCCAGUUACAGAUAAGUUUAUGACGCGUGAGCGAGCUAAACACAAACUUACCAAAGAGCUUAAGAUCUCCAUCUUCGAAAGCUGGAACUUGACCAAAUGGCUGCAUCAAUUGAAGCAAAGAAAUGUGAGAUUUACUGACCAUAAAAAAAUACUUGAUAGUUUUGUUCUUCAUGUUCUCAUUGUAAUCAUAUACUUACAUUGAGGGAUAUGAAGGGCUCCUUUUUGU